UUUGUAAUGUAAUGUUACAGAGUGGGAGGCUUCUGGGCCGCUUUAUCACAUUGUCAGUUCUACGAUUUAUCAUCUUAUAGCACCGUCCACCACUACCACACUAUACUUCGCCAUACGAACUGUAAGUCCAAGGCGGCGGGUCCAGCCGUCUAGGACCCCUCCUCAUCCAUUCACCCGAACAACCGAAGAGACGGAGGGCUCGGCAAUCGCCACCAAUCUAGCGUGCGAAUCUGGUCCAUCAACUGCGACCUCAACUCCACAUCUCAGCAGCUAGCCAUGAUCUCGCGCUCCCGACUAAUUCGGGGGUCUCCCCAGGAAUCGAACCCAGGACCUUAAACCGCGAAUCGCAGUAGUGUCGCAUAUGCUUAUAGAUCGCAUAUGCUUAUAGAUCACAGCACAGCAUAGCAUAGCAUAGCAUAGCGCAGCAUAGCAUAGCAUAGCAUAGCAUAGCAUAGCAUAGCAUAGCAUAGCAUAGCAUAGCAUAGCAUAGCAUAGCAUAGCAUAGCAUAGCAUAGCAUAGCAUAGCAUAGCAUAGCAUAGCAUAACAUAGCGCAGCAUAGCAUAGCAUAGCAUAGCAUAGCGCAGCAUAGUAUAGCAUAGCAUAGCGCAGCAUAGCGUAGCAUAGCAUAGCAUAGCAUAGCAUAUCGCAUAUGCUUGCAGAUUGCAGAUCGCCUAUGCUUGCAGACCGCAUAACGCAUAUGCUUGCAGAUCGCAUAUCGCAUAUGCUUGCAUAUCGCAUAUGCUUGCAGAUCGCAUAUGCUUGCAUUUGGCAUAUGCUUGCAGAUCGCAUAUGGCAUAUGCUUGCAGAUCGCAUAUGCUCGCAGAUCGCAUAUGGCACAUGCUUGCAGACUGUGUAUGCUUGCAUAAUGCAGAUGCAUGCGCAUAUGUAUAACAUAUCGCACAUAUCGUAUAUUGCAUAUCGCAUAUUGCAUAUUGCAUAUCGCAUAUUGCAUAUUGCAUAUCGCAUAUCGCAUAUCGCAUAUUGCAUAUUGCAUAUCGCAUAUUGCAUAUCGCAUAUCCCAUAUCGCUGCAUAUGGCAUAUCGCAUAUUGCAUAUUGCAUAUCGCAUAUUGCAUAUCGCAUAUCGCAUAUUGCAUAUCGCAUAUUGCAUAUUGCAUAUUGCAUAUUGCAUAUUGCAUAUCGCAUAUCGCAUAUCCCAUAUCGCUGCAUAUGGCAUAUCGCAUAUCACAUACCGCAUAUCGCACAUCGCAAAUUGCAUAUCGCUGCAUAUCGCAUAUCGCUGCAUAUCGCUCCAUAUUGCAUAUCGCAUAUACAUAUAUGCAUAUAUGCACAUAUAUGAAACAUAAAACAUAAUCGGGGUAGGGAUCGAACCGGCGACCUUCCGUUCUUUUCGGCGCUGUCUUAAGCGCGUACGGCACGCUCCCGACCCGGAAUUUCCAAUACGCUCCGGACGCACGCACGCACGCACGCACGCACGGACACGCGAACUCGGGAUAGGCCUCCGCUCAUAACAUACUAGAGCGCGCUGUUCGCGCGAGUGGGCCGUAGCUCCUGUGCUGGCUGACUGAUCCGUCUGCGCAUUGUGGCAUAUGCUUGCAGAUCGUAUCUGGCAUAUGCUUGCAGAUGGCAUAUGCUUGCAGAUCGCAUAUCCUUGCAGAUCGCAUAUGCUUGCAGAUCGCAUAUGCUUGCACAUCGAAUGUGGCAUAUGCUUGCAGAUCGCAUCUGGCAUAUGCUUGCAGAUCGCAUAUGCUUGCACAUCGAAUGUGGCAUAUGCUUGCAGAUCGCAUCUGGCAUAUGCUUGCAGAUGGCAUAUGCUUGCAGAUCGCAUAUUCUUGCAGAUCGCAUAUGCUUGCAGAUCGUAUAUGCUUGCAGAUCGCAUAUGCUUGCAGAACCGAAGAACGGCGCUGUAUGAAACGCGUACGGCAUUCACUCCGGCGCGGAAUCGAAGCACACGGCGAAGCGGCCACAGCGCGCAGCGAACUGCAGGUUAAAUCGCGCGUCGAAUUACGCAAUUACGAAGUAUGAAAUAGGAAUAACGCAGAAAACACUUUCGCGGUCGCAUUAAGAGAAAAAAAAAGUAAAAAAAAAUCGCAAACAUCCCGCCGAGGGUCGAACUGACGACUUGGUGGACAGACGGAGGGACAGACGGACGGAGAGACAGACGGACAGCCGCCCAGCCUAAGGCCUCCGCUAGACUACUACGUAGUCCCUACGGCUACGGACAGCCGCCCAGCCUAAGGCCUCCGCUAGACUACUACGUAGUCGCUACGGCUACGUAGUCGCUACGGCUACAGACGGAGGGACAGAGGACUCCGCUAGACUACUACGUAGUCGCUACGGCUACAGACGGAGGGACAGAGGACGGACGGACAGACUAGAGCGCGCUGUUCGCGCGAGUGGGCCGUAGCUCCGUGUGUGCGUUGUACGGCGGUUAAGGGCGUACGUAUACGGCGUGUAUGACACACGCGCAUUUCGUAGGAAUAUGAAGCUUGCGGAGCCUAGCACGCAAAUGUAGUCUGUCGGGCAGUGUGCAGCACUCGCGCGGGAAUCGAACCCCACCUCCGGGUCGGCACGUGCAGCUGCGUGCCGUGCAGCAUCCUGCUGGCGCUGCAACACCCGCAACUCAGGAGGGGCUGCGGCACGCUGUGCAGCUUUCUGCCGUCGCCAUUUAGCCCGUAAUUCCGCAGCAGAAGGUUCAGCAGCCUCUUGCUGCUCCUCCACCGGCGUAUCGACAGCAGCAACCGCUUGCUGGCCCUCUGCGGACCCCCUUGAAUUAGCUGGCGCGGCUGUCUGCUGUGAUGCAGCAUGCUGCCGCUGCUGAGGUGCUUGGUCAGUGCACAAAUCACUAAACGGACGUGUUCUCCCACAACGGAACCCGUCUGCAAGCGAACCGAGCCGAAGCCGCUUCGAAGGAGGCCGAUCUGCCAUAAAGACCUAACGAUUUAACGAGGCGAACACGAGGCGAACACGUGCGAGGUGGACACGUAUACUAAUUGAGCCGUUAAGAAUAUCAGCUCGUCAACGGCAGAGAAGGCGAAAGAAGCGAAAAGAAAGAGCAAAAAACUCGAAAGUAUUUCGGCACAGUGACAAGGGGAAUUGCGAGAAGCAUCAAAGCUUAAAAGUGCAGAACGGUGCUGUAUGAAGCGCGUACGGCAUUCAUUCCGACGCGGAAGCGCGUUUUGAGGCGUGCAUCAAAUUAUGCGGUAAAGCGCGCGUUGAAUUCCGCGGCUAAUUGUACAUUGAAUUGUGCAUCGAAUUGCGCAUUUAGAGCUGUGUGAAUCGUGCUGUAUGAAGCGCGUACGGCAUUCAUAUGAAGCGCGCAUCGAAUUAUGCGCUAAAGUGCGCGUCGAAUUCCGCGGCUAAUUGUACGUCGAAUUGUUUAGAGCUGUGCGAAUCGCGCUGUAUGAAGCGUGUACCGACGCGGAAGCGCGUUUUGAAGCGCGCAUCGAAUUGUGCAACAAAGCGCGCGUUGAAUCCCGCGGCUGAUUGUACGUUGAAUUGCAUAGCGAAUUGCGCGUUUAGAGGUAUGCGAAUCGCGCUGUAUGAAGCGUGUACGGCAUUCAUUCCGACGCGGAAGCGCGGUUUGAAACGCGCAUCAAAUUAUGCGGUAAAGCGCGCGUUGAAUUCCGCGGCUAAUUGUACAUUGAAUUGUGCAUCGAAUUGCGCAUCUAGAGCUGUGUGAAUCGUGCUGUAUGAAGCGCGUACGGCAUUCAUAUGAAGCGCGCAUCGAAUUAUGCGCCAAAGUGCGCGUCGAAUUCCGCGGCUACUUGUACGUUGAAUUGCGCGUCGAAUUGCGUGUUUAGAGCUGUGCGAAUCGCGCCGUAUGAAGCGCGUACGGCAUUCAUUCCGACGCGGAAGCGCGUUUUGAAGCGCGCAUCGAAUUGUGGUCCUAUAUGUUUAUAUGUGCAUAUGGAGCAUAUGAAACAUAGCAUAUGAAGCAUACGAAGAAACAUAGCAUAUGAAGCAUACGAAGGAAAAAAAAAAGCGCGCAUCGAAUUGUGGUCCUAUAUGUUUAUAUGUGCAUAUGAAGCAUAUGAAACAUAGCAUAUGAAGCAUACGAAGAAACAUAGCAUAUGAAGCAUACGAAGAAACAUAGCAUAUGAAGCAUACGAAGAAAAAAAAAAGCGCAAAAAAAAGACGCGCGCGCGCCGGGGAUUGAACCGGCGCGAGGUGGACAGAUGGACAGACGGACGGCGAAUCGGCCUAAGGCCUCCGUUAAACCGUUAAACUACUACGUAGUCGCUAUUAGACUACUACGUAGUCGCUACGGCUAUGAGCUACGGCGAUUCAGAGAUGCCUUCCCUCCGCUUCGCUCUUCGCUGCGCUACGAGAAGCUACGGUGACAGAUCAGCCACCACCACCACCACAGCAUGCGAAAUUUAGUCCAUCAACUAGACCUCAUCUCCACACCUCAGCAGCGUUAGUAAACCUAGACCUCCCGAACAAUGUCGGGGGUCUGACCAGGAUACGAACCCAGAACUUUCAUAUACACAAAAACGCCACCAGACUAGACCAAAAUUUGCUUAGUUUCGCUACCGGGACCCGAACCCGGGUCUCGAGAGUGAAAAUCUCAUAUCAUAACCGCCUAGACUAUAGCGAAGAAGAUAGUAUCAAAUUCGGCACACAAAUUGAUAUGUCCCCUCCGUAUAGUGUGAGUUUGCUGAGCUGCAGGGUUCGAUUUGUGAGUGUGUAUGUUGUGCUCGGCUUCUGUAGCUUCAACUUGGCAAUGGGUUUUGGCCCUCCGGUAGCUCUGUUUUUGUGGGGGACAAUGUCUGGCUUGCUUAUUAGGCCCUCACCUGCAUCGGUAUUUUUGCCGUGUUGGAGCCCUAUCCGUUUUAAAUGAAUCCGAUUGCCAUGGUGUUAGUUUUAUGUAAUGUUAUGUAAUGUAAUGUUACAGAGUGGGAGGCUUCUGGGCCGCUUUAUCACAUUGUCAGUUCUACGAUUUAUCAUCUUAUAGCACCGUCCACCACUACCACACUAUACUUCGCCAUACGAACUGUAAGUCCAAGGCGGCGGGUCCAGCCGUCUAGGACCCCUCCUCAUCCAUUCACCCGAACAACCGAAGAGACGGAGGGUUCGGCAAUCGCCACCAAUCUAGCGUGCGAAUCUGGUCCAUCAACUGCGACCUCAACUCCACAUCUCAGCAGCUAGCCAUAAUCUCGCGCUCCCGACUAAUUCGGGGGUCUCCCCAGGAAUCGAACCCAGGACCUUAAACCGCGAAUCGCAGUAGUGUCAACCCAGACCAGACCCCAGUUUUAUAUAAUUUUGCUAUACCUGGUAUUGAGCUAAGGCCGCCUGUCUGUCUAUCCGUUUACCUGUCAAUUAGGCUAGCUGGAUGGCGCGUACGGGCUAGGGUUCGUUGCAUUGCCAGGUAACCACUCGUCGUACCGUCAUAUGGAGUACGGCCUGCAGAAAGGCAAUUUGCUGCGCACACAGUUCUGACGAGUGUCAUUCCUUUGCCGUGGGCAUAUGCGUGGGUGGCGUAGGUAGACACCCGCGUACCCCCCAGGCUGGCGCUGGGCAGCAUCCUUUCUUUCAGGAUUUCCCUCCCACACGACACAGUACUAUUUAGAUGGUGUAGCCUUCCGUCGUAGCCACAUGCGUGGCUUUUAGGCGUUGUAGUAUUGCCCUUGGGCCUUCGGCUCGUAUGGGUAGUUUUACAGGUAUGGGGUCACGCACCCCCCGACCAUGUAACACACACACACACACACACGCACACACACACAUGCACACACACACACGCACACACACACACACACACACACACACACGCACACGCACACACACACACACACACACAUGCGGCAUACGUGCGGCCUUGAUGCCACAAGCAGGCAAAAGGAACACGACGGUGAGGAGCAUGCUACAUCCUACCUUGCCUCACCAAUGGAAAAGGAUUCUCGAGGCGGUGACACAGAUCAUCUCAACAGUCAGCAGGAUGGAGACAAGAUACAACAGAGCGGAGCCUUACAAGAAACCCAGAAACACGGCGGACGCAAGGACUUAGAAAUUGCCGGAACGAAUCAAUAAUGACGCAUGCAUGCAAUGCAAGCGCAAAAAAUUAAACCGGAGCGUUGCUCUGAUUUAGGUUAACAAUCUCUUGCCACUUAAUGAAGGGCUAACCAGGUGCGCUUCUGUCUUUUUCUAUCUGGCCCUGCCUGUAAAGCAUUCAUUACGCGAUCGGAAUGUUACGCGCGUGCGAACUGGGACCCGGCACUCCGACCUCAGCUGAUGGCGCAACUGAUCACGGACAGAUACACUGGCGGACGGACGGGCAAAGGGGCGGAUAGAUCAACUACGGAUAAAAAGACGGGUGGAGAAAACACCCCGCAAUCUUGCCAUGUUCGACGGCAAAAAUAAUUGUCCGCGUUACCUGCGCAUAACCUAUCCCGGCUUCUUUGCGCCCAGGCAUAGAGGUUUGGUAGCCCGCUGUAACAACAACAACAGAAUCAUACGGCAUGCAGGUAUUAUUAACAAUCCCGCUCCGGUAUCCAGGUAGAUUCGUGAUAGUCUCCGUAUUAACUACCAGCGCGUGCGUACGGCAUAUGGCCGUUCAAUUUUCAGCACUCACGCAUGUGUGUCAGAGAGUGUGCGUGUGUGUAUGAGAGUGUGUGUGUGUGUGUGUGCCGACACCCCUGCUGAGUCCCUAUUGGACCCCAUUUCCCAAUCGGUCCUUCACGUACAUCCACGCGAGUGGUUCUCGGAGUACGGCAAACGAAUUUUGUCACAGCGGAUCUCAAAGAAUACGCGAUACAAGCCAAAUAGUCCUAGAUCCGCCUGUCGACAGGCCUGACGUGGCCUUAACUCAAGACGCGCACCUUCGCAACCUUACCAGUCCAAAUCAGGCAACAAUUAAUAAGAUAUGUUUUUUAAUGAAUAAUAAGCAAGUGCCUGACGCAUUUUAGAGAGUUGGGAAGUGAGCUAGUAGCACUCCACCUGCCUGCGCUUGCAGGUAUGUAUGUAUAUGUGUAUGUGUGUAAUCAUGAUCUGAGCCGCGAUAAGGAAAAUGCCGAUGGUGGUACACAAAAACGAAUAACGUUACCGUAGCGAGCUCCGAAUAGUCACCGACGACGUGUUGGACUUUUUCCAGUAUAAAACUGUAGCGUAGCUUAAAGCUUUCCAAAACAGGAUCGUGAUAUCAAAAGCCCAUAUAGGGGCUGUCCCAUACAAACGUCGGCUAGACAUGAUGUUGGAAUCUACAAAUCUUUAGGGCAUCCAUGCGCCUUAACCACAGAGGCACAAAGCAGCCGGCCACCCCGCCUCGUAUGCUCGCGUGUGAUUGCCCACCCUGCCGCCGAGGGCAUUGGCUGCUUGAUUGCGGGGCCCACACGGCCCACAGGUACACCCGCACGCAUUCACUGGAAAAAAGAUGUAAAAGGAUCCCGCUAAGCAACGCAUCCGUCGCUGCCAAUCCAAGCAGAGCAUCAUGUAGAAGUCAGCAACUCGGCAGAAAUAAAAGUCAUAAAACACGGUUUCUGCAGCAAUACCCAGUUCGUCUUGGUCCAAAAGCAAACUCCAACUCGCCCACUCUUCUUUCUGCCGAUGCGCAUCACGAUAUGACUGUACGGCGACACACAAGGACCAACUUGCCGUGAGCAUGCUAACUUCGAUGCAGACUCAUCACAAAAUCGAAGCCGCCACCGCCGCCGCUGCUGCCGCCAAGCUGUCGAUCACUUACCGGUGGCCUUAAUCACGCUGGUACGUAUUGUGCUGGUAAGCAUGCGAGCGCAAGGGGACACGAGAGUGCCAUCCAAGUGUCACCCUCCCCCCAGCUCAGCAAACUACCCCUGAACCACUACUUCACAGCUAUGAGCACGUAAAUCCUGGUUCAUAGUAAGGUACGGUGCCGCCAACCCCAUAUCUGCCCGCAGACCUGCGUGCGGUGCUUGCGACUGAGUCACGUAUGGAGUGCUCUGUCGUGCAUCCCUACAAGCCAGUCAAUAUUUAUAUGUUUCUGCUGGAUAACUGAGAUCACAUUUGCGUGUACAUGGGGCUACACACGCUCUCGUUCGCCUGGGUCUCGCGGGUAUGGACACACACACACACACACACACACACACAUACACACACACACACACAUGUCCGGAAGGUCUGCCAGCAACAGCAGGCACAUCCUGCGCCGCCUUUUCCUUUACUGUAUGACGCAUUUCUUAGGAGUCCUCUCAUUUAACAUCUCUCACAUUUUAGCAUUCAGGGUGCCGUACGGUGCGGCGCCGUAUGCAAGGCAAAGAGCUUGCUCUCUUGACGCAGCUGACGCAGUAGCAGUUGUAGCUGCUGGAGAAGGAAUACCGUCUGAUUCGCUGUAGCUAUAACACCAACUACAGAUACUCAGCUACAGCUACAUAUGCCACCGGAGGUUGCCUGGCCGCUGGUUGUUGUUAUUGUUGUUGUUGUUGUUGCUAAGAGCCUGCACGAAGGCCGCACGGCCCACUUUGGAGGUUGCAGGCAAAGUAAGAGAGGGCAAUAGGGGGGGACACGAACGAUUUAGAGGGACGGCAGACAGGUAGAUGGACAGAGAGACACAAACGGAUAGACGGACAUACAUACGAACAUACAUAUAUACAUACCGAAGGACGGACAGAUGCAAGAAGUGGUUAGAUAGGGCAGACGUUUAGGAACCCGAACGAACAAGUGGGACAGCGGAGCCUCCCCAGCAGCUCCUGAUGCAUGGUUUUUUGCAUCGCAACACAGUCAUGUUCGUUUGCAUCACAUGUAUAAACCUUGUCAGUAAGGCGUCGAACAUGCAUGCUUGCGAUAUGCAUGCGAAUGUGGUUCUGAGCACGGCAUUAGGGUUUGGUUAGCACGCCGCCACCCCCACCGCCACCACCGGCAAGACAAGCCGAAUAACCAUUAUAAUGAUAACCCCUAAACCCAUCCUGUCUCCUACGUCGCCCUCAGCCCAUUCAGGGCCUUUCCCAAGUGCCCUGGCCACAUGCCGAUAGAUCUGCAAGAUCUGGGAGCUCUUUCCAGUCUACACAAUACUCAUCAGUCUCAUAACCUGAUCAAAAGCCCCAGGUCGCCCAGGAGCUGCCACCAACCCUGCCAACUGCCAACUGCCAACUGCCAACCUACCGUGAGCCGCCUCCCGCAGCCUCUGCACCACCUUCUGGCGUUUUUCUGGGUCUCUAAGCUUCUCCAGACCCACACAGGGCAGCUUGAGCGCUUGGCCAGCCAGAGACGCCAAGGUCGGCGCGGCGGUGGCCAGGGCAGGCGGUGGCAGUAGCGGCGCCGCCGCUGCGGCGGCAAGUGUGCCAUCGCCACCGCUACUGGCCGCCGGAGACCUCGAGGCAUCACAAUCUGCCCAGCUUUCCACUGAUAGUUAACAAGGCAGAGUAGAGAGGAAGGAAUAGAAUGAGAGUAAUUUAGAACGUAAGGGAGUAGGAUAGGAUAGGACAACGUGGCGCGGACACAGUCGGAGGGUAGGUGAGCGGCAUCAUUUCAGGCAUAUAAACAAGCAUAUCGGCGCAGACCUUUGUCGCCCUGGGCUGAGUCCUAGAUUCAAUCACGGACUUGCAGGUUCAGCCCAGAUCUUAUUUUAGAUGUUGGCUUAAUGGCUUAGGUCAUGGCUGUGACUGCAGGGCACGGGCCUAGCUACGCAUGCUCAGGGGCUAAGCUACGCGUGCUUUAAUAGGACACAGUCGGCUAAACUUAUAGCGGGUAGAUAGAUCACCGGCGUGGUACGAUUUCAGGCUAAGCCAAGCAAUGGUCUGGUCUGGUUGAUGCUUGGUUAGGUGAACUGCUUUAUUUCUCGACAAGCCAGCCUAGCUAGGGCUUCGAUUUGCCUUACAUUACAGGCUAACCUAGAGCACAGACUCAGCUAGGGCACACAGUGCUAAUCCAGCCAUGCGCUUUAUGCCAUCGGAGCACCAAGAACUGGUCAGUCCGGUUCAUCGUCUAUAGCGCCGCGUUUAAAAAGCCCAGAAGCCCACCACCCUGCCGCCGUACCCGCUCUGAGCCGGCCAACCCCGUUGGCGGCGUUUUGCAGCCGCUGCUCACAGCGCCGUGCCACCUGUCGCCCUGGAUCAAUCAAAUCCAAAAGUGGAUCCAAGAUCUGAUCCAGAUGAGCAAAAUCCAGCGCUUGCUGACCCUUUUCCCGACCGCCGCCGCCGUCGCCGCCGUCACCGCCCUCGCCACCCUCGCCGCCGCCGUCACUUCCCGUGUCGCCUUCGGUUUCGCUUUCACUCCCACUACCGUCGCCACUGCCACCGUCACGGCCACCGCCACCGCCACCGACGCGGUUGUACUCGCCCAUCCCUUCCUGGGCUGGAAGCGCCUCAAUGCUUUCGAAGAGGCGCAUUCUGGACACGCAGCCCGGAACAGAAUGCGUGGGCUUUCGGGUGAGCGGCAGCAUUUGCGAUUCAUUGGCUCCGGUGUUACUGUUGCUGCUGCUGCCGUUGCUGCUGCGGAACACGCCGUAGCAGCUCUGACGCGACGUGGAGGUGCGCGGUAGGACCGGCGCGGAAGUACGCUCGACUACAUGCAUAUGCGUGCCGUCGCCGUCAUCCUCCACCAUGGGGUCCAAACUCCAUAGAGACGUGGCCCGACGAACGCCUUUGCCGUACCUUCCGGUUGCGCGUCCUUCACCCAGAACCCACGGCGGGGCUUGCGAUGACGACGGGCUGCUGGAGGCGUUGGCGUCGCCUUGGCUUUCCACAUUGCGGUGCUGUGUCCCGAGGCUGACAGAUCGCACUAGCAAGGUGCUGCUGCCGCCGCCGCUGCAGCGGAAGCUCCGACCGCUUAGCCCGUAUGGGAGCGUAGCAGUGGCGGCGGCGGAGGUUGGCGCGUCUUCAUCUACACCGGCAUCUGGCAGCGGGAUUCCGCACAGCGCGACUUGGGACGCGCUGCUAGUGGCACGGGGCUCUCCGCCGUCGACGGCAGCAGAACGCCACAGCUCAUCAUCAUCAUCGAAACUGCGGUAAUACAGUUGCUGUGGUUGCGGUGACGGCUGUUGUUGUUGGUGGUGGUGAGGAUGUUGUUGCUGUUGCUGUUGCUCAUUGGGACGAAAUGGGUGCGCGCUUGAGUUUGGAUGGGCGGCGGGCCCUGCGCUGCCCUGCCGUUGCCGACGCUCCGCUGUGUGCGGCGGCGUAGCUAGCACCGCAGUGGCGCCGCCGCUGCCGCCGCCAGACGCUAUCGGCGCUGCCUCUCGGGUGUUCGCCAUGCGGAAGCGUGCGCUUGCAUUGCUGGGCACUGCAGCAGCGGCCGAGGACGACGGCGUCGCCGGGCUGCCGCCCCCGGAGCUGCUGCCACCUCCUGAUGUGAGGAAGGUUCCAGAAGUACCUGCCAGGACGGACGCAGACAGGUGACCGCGACGGACACCCAAGGUGCUUUGCAGCGCUAGCGGCGAGGCGGGCGGUGCGGACAAGUGUGGGAAUGACUGCGGUGGCGGCUGGUUGGACGUGGGAUUUUGCGAGGAUAGGGGAAGGGGGCUUGGGGCUGCUCCAGGGUGGCUAAUCUUGGGGAGUGCCGGCGGCGACGUGAGGGCAGCAGUGACGGCGCUUGAGUUCGUACUGGAGGUCCGUAUAAGUGGCGGCCGGCGGGGCGGCGGAGGCGCCUCCGGUGGCGUCGGGCAGUACGGAGGUUCCGGAGCAAUGCUGCUGCAAAUGCUGCCGUCGACACUUGUACUGGGAGCGUGCUGGUGCUGUUGGUGUGGAGUUGUGGCGACCAGCGGGGCCCCGCUUGCGGAAAUAGAUGAAGUCGGGCGGGAAUUGUCAGGGAAGGCUGCGAAUGGGGCUCCGUUGAAUCCGCGGAGGGUUCUGGGGAAUUGGAGGCCAUGAAGGUCCACAGUUGCGCGAGCCUGCUUGCAACAUGGGUGUGCGCACCAGUUGGCGUGGACGAGGUGCUGUGAGCCGAGUAAUUUAGUUUAGCGUACAAGUUUAAGUGUUGGAAAAAUAUUUAUUCGUAAAAUCCUUCAUAAUAUAUUGAUAGCAUAUUAUAAAAUGAAGUAUCGACGUCUUCCCGAACAAAACUAGGCAGGUCACACAUUGCACAUGAAUGCUUGCGUCCGAUGUGACUUACCACAUCUUCACCUUGCUCUUCUUCAGGCACAAUAAAUCCAAUUGUGCGACUACUUGUGGAACGGCCUCGCAUCAUCCCAAGCCGCGGCGCAGGGUGGUCCGUUGAGUUGUCACCUGUUGAUUGCACAUGACCCACAUUCCGCGGACCGGAUAUGCUAUGCCUCUGACGCAUGACCAGGACGCCUUAAGAUAUUUUGAUGAGCGUAAUAUUCGCGGUUAUCUGCGUUGUAGGUUCCUGUUCGUUUCUGAUGAGCCGGCACAGUCCUGAACCUCGCGAACUACAGUCCAGAAAGACAGCCGUAGAAGCCUACUAGUCCGUUGAAUGGGCUGGGAGAAAUCCUCAAUAGGUACAUGAACCGGUACACAAAGGGUAGGCUGGCUUGCCUGCGAGCCAGGCAUGAGAGGAACAGUUUGCAGGACUCAGUCUUGCAAGCGUGGAAAUAGUUUGAAUUAAAUUCAAUAAGUUCUUAUUCAAUCUAGUUACCACAGCAUACCUUCGCGGAAGGCAUAACCCAACAUGGCUCGAACAUGUCGAACAACAUUCCCAGGGCCGAGCCUACCUUGAGUUUUGCUACUUUAUCCAAUAUAUGCCCAACACAACUUUAGGGCCCAGCGUUGAUCGUGUCGAUAGCCUCGGAGCAGACUCCUUCGUUGUCCCUGUGCAACAACCGUCAUGGUUAACGUUAAAUAUCAGUUCACCAAGAAACAUGCUGUAAUAUGAGUGCGAGCUGUGUGAUGACAGAUUUCAAACAAAGCACUAGGUCGGCGGUACAAGUAAGGUAGGACACCGGUCAAGUGAUGCUCGAGAUGCAGGCCAGCGAGCAGGUCAUGAGGCUUACGCUACUAGCAUAUCACAAUAAUUAAGCAGUAUGCAUAUCUUAUCACACUAUUUGCAGAAGGUGUUACGCCUGUCUCUGCGUACCUUCUGAACGUGAUGCAGUCAAGGAAAAGCCAAUCGAAAUAUUUAACUUUGAUGAUAUGUAACUAACUUGUAUUAUUUCUUGCCUGGCUUCAGACUGAGCUGCUUGCCCGUCGAGAGGUGGUUUCCGGUACAUGUACGAGGCCCAAACAACGCUUCUUCCUUUGGUAAUCGCAAUAUGUAUUCAUACUUGCAUCUUGUAGCUUAUCAUGAGAUAUUAACGUAUAUAUUCGUAGCAACAUUAUGCGCCUUUCACAUGUCGGCCUUGGCCUGUAGCAUGUAGCCCGCCUGCACGGGUCGCAAGAAUUAAGCACAUAAUUAUUAGCAUAACCAUUAGCUAUGCGCAGCCCUCUCCAGUGGUAUCGAUGACGUACAUGGUCUGCAUUGUCGUGCAGAAUGGCAAACCCGUGAAUUUCUUGGGAUUGUAGUCAUUAGAACAGUCAACAACUGGUACCUUAUCAUCCUCGAAGCCCCUUGCCUUCAAUCCUGCAAGACCCUACACCCUCCACAGCAUCUCUGCAGGCUUCUCUCCGGCAACCAGGGCUUCAAGACCCUGCAUCAAUCUCCACUGGGACUGUUUCGCGUCCAAACAAGAGCCUCCCCACACCUUGACAUCCCACGUGGCACAUAUACACUGUUCUCAGACUGUUUGUUACGUACAGGGUCGCUGCGGCGGUGGCGGCGGCGGCAAGUGCAACCCAGCCUGAGAGCCACACCGCGCGAUAAGGCGCAAGGCAUGGCUUGGUUGGCCUUACGUCUCCAUAAACCCCUAGGAGAAACCCGUGCCUUUAGCCAGUUGACUCCUGCUGUGCUGCCUGCGCAGUGCUGCGUCGGGCUAGGAGCUUUAUUGCAAGUUCACAUUAUUCUUUUAUCACGUUUUUAAUCACGUUCAUAAGGUUGAUGCACAUAUGUCGAAGGCUCCCGCAGGCUCCUGUUUUUCCAAGGGGAGGGCUUGGUUGCGCUCCAGCCGAGCGUUUCAUGCACUGUUUCCGAUGUGUUGAAUACGCUUCGACUUCUCGAAGCGAAGUUUGACUGUAGAGAUAGGCAAGUUGUUGCGAAGGAGCUACCGUGGUGCGUGGAAGUAGGGCGCAUGCAUGCAUGUGCCGGACCACAGUACGGCAGAGGGACGCCAAGCUCGUACCUGGGUGACUCAGGCGCAUUGGUUCCUUUAGCUGCCGUUGUUUUGACUAUUAUUACCAAGAGGUGUGUCCCGCUGCUAGGACAGUGUCCUCUACUUUUCCCCGCACCCACCCACGGGUCAGUAUCUUACUAAUUGUCCUACAUUAUUGGUCUAAUCUUGGAGUACCCGUCUAUGUGCGUUCUCUCGUCAAUCGCCUGUGCCUCGUAGUACCCCCCACCCACCCAGGGCAAUCCCGGGGGUUGCCACAAUGCAGCGGUUCCUGGUUUUGUCCCUGCGGGCCUCGGGUGGGUCGCCCGUGCGCUUGAGGUCCUAGGAUUCGGUGCAACACAGGUAACUGUCAUUACUAUCGGCCACUAGUGCAACUUUCACAACGGGUUGGUAGUGGGAGGGGGUUUCACAGCCGUGUUGUUUUGCUGCCAAAUUGUGCUGGCGGUUGGCGGCUUAGCUAUUGUAACGCAACACGGCAGGACUGAGCAAUAAAUCCGUUUCGCAUAUGGCACUGAGCAGCUCACAAGUUUACAGCACUCCCUUCGGCGCCAUUCAUUUUCUCCGCGCUUGCAGUAUCCCGAGGAGGAUUGCCAAGUAGUAAUGGAGCCCUGAUCCGCCCUGAUCUGAACACAAGUCCUCGUACAGUUUCGUACUGCAGCAUUUUAGCAAACUGCCAACAUCCAUGCAUCAGUUUUCAUCUUUGUUUCUAGUUUGGAGAAGAAAGGAUGCUUAGCGGUUAAAGUUACGCCUGCCAGGACAGCACCAGCAUUCUGUUAAGAUACGAGCUGCCAGGGUCACACUUCCUGGCAGCCUUUGCAAAUUGUUAUAGUUCAUGCAACAAAAGCUACGUGACUGAACCCUUGCGAGGGCCAAUAUACCUUUAUUCAGCAUUACGUCAAGGACGAUCAAGCUCAAUUGGCCAUCAAACAAUUUAAAAGGCGUAAAUAAUUUCAACAUCAAAAUUGGUGUUUGGGGGACGCAACACUAGAACCAGUUGCCGGCAGCGAUUAAGCUAUGGAGCGCAGUUUCGGAGCGGUUCCGCUCACCGACGCACACGUUGCAGAAACUUGGACGGGAGCUAAUAUCAGCGCUUCACCAGUUGUUGAUUUGGAUGCGAUCAAUGGCAUCAGCGUCAACACCCACCACGGUCGCGGGAUUGCGAAUCCAUGUCCAUUACAUUCCUUCCCCGACGCAGGAGGGACACCGGUGGCCCUGAGCUCCCUCCCAGAAGAGCCUGGAUCUACUGAUACUGCUGAAAUCCCAGCUCUCACUGCUGUAGAUGGAGUCCCAGCCUCUGCCGCUGGCCCGGCGGGGCUGGUGGCUGCUUGCUCGAUGGCCAUGGAGCGAUACGCGCCUCCGUCUUCUGCGCCGUCUGACCCGAACGACCCGUCGGCUGGCCAGCAGCAUCCGGAUCAGCAGCAGUAUCCUUAUCCUGAUGAGCGGCAGCUCCUAGAGGAGCUGCUGGGCUAUAUGUCGUACCGGAACGGUACAGGCAGUACACCUGUUGAUGAAACAUCAAACUCAGAGGAGGAGGAGGAGGAGGAGGAGGAGGCGAAGGUAUCUGGAUCUGCCGAUGUGGAAGUGGAUUUGAACACGGAGGCGAAGGAGUCUGGGGCUGGUGCGUCAGAGGAGGAGAAGUCAGGCGGGGUAAGGUAGCAAAGCAGGGGCCCAUGCAGAUUUGGUCAACAGAAUUCCGGCCAACGGAUUUGGUCAACAGGAUUCCGGCCAACAGAUUUAGCCAAGAUAGGGGGGCAUUGUGGGCGCGGCAGCCUCGAAACUCCGAAUGCUAUGCGGCACUGAUGGUCCAAUGGCACGGAUGGACUAAGUUCCGAUCGAUCUUAGACCGAAUCCGGAUUUGGAUCUGAAUGAUUCGAUAUUUCGGAUUGUCCUGCAGCUGCCGCCUGCCGUCCACAUGGCUUUCUGAGAGGUGUUUAAAAAAUUACGAAUCCGCUGCUAAAUUAAGGAAACCGCACCAUAAUGUUGUUUAUUCACAAAAUUGAUGUCGCUUGGGUCGGGAAUUUUACCCACAUCAUGACUCGGCCACCGGUCUUUGUGGAGAUCUGAGUGAAAAGGAUGAUCCUUGAUAUGUACAUAAUUGCACCGGACAAUAUGAAUCGUACCUGCCACCGCAGGGGGUGUCGGAGCUGGCACUGUCACCGUCAGGAUCGCAGCCUCCGCUGCCGCCGGCUCAGCGACCUUACCCAUGGCGCAGCGGUGCCGUACAGCAGCCGCCGCCGCGGCGUCGCAAGCGACGGACAUAUAUUCCAGAGGAGGCGGAUCCAGGGGAUGGAGCAGCGGCCGCGGCGACUCCGCCGCCACCGCUACAACUGGCGGCGUAUGCCGAAGUGCCGUUGCCGCCGCCGCCAUCGUUGCCGUACCCUGCUACGGCCGCCGCCGCUACGGCAGCGGACGCCCAACUACACGCCCACCUAGAGCGGGUUGCGGACUCCCUGAUCAAGCGCCGCUGCACUGUGCCCAUCGACGAUCCGUUGGUGGCGUUGUACGGCAGCGUGAACCGGGAUGCCGUACAACUCUGACGCGAGGGUCUAGAUUGGCAAUGUCUAGGUUUCGAGGGCAGGUUGGAAGAGGAUCUGCGUGGCUGUACGACGUUUUCCGCUUUUCGGUUGUUAUUAUUGACGCAAAAGGACUGAGGUUGAAAAUAGUUUCCAAAUUUUUCCUCAGAUUUUUCCUUGUCUGGGCUCUUUAACUGCUAUGUUGGUUCAUUGGCUUAGAGGAAGAGGGGUCUCGGAGGCCCCAGGAAAGCGGCAUGGAUGCGCUGGAAGCACUGGAUGCGGCAUGGAAGCACUGGAUGCGUACGUUUCCGAUGUUCCUUAUAACCAAUCAAAACUUACGCCGAAGGUUCCCGACAGCAUCUCCGACUUACCUGAAGACCAGUAUGCAUGUAUCUGAUGCACCACAUGCCUCAAUUUGAGAAAUGCAUGGCUCGAGAGAUGAUGCACUUUUGAUUAUUGCUGCUGCUAUCUCCGUGUCACCUCGUUGGCCAUGACCCUGCUGUAUGCGAAACGACUCGGAUAGGGGGCCGCAACACCGAUUAUCGUUGUUUGGUUUCGGUUGGGGGUUGGGGAUUUGUUGAGGUUUUGUUUGUUGAUUUCGGUUAGAAGUUGUAGUAGUAGGUAGCAAUGACGGCCAGAGCUCCCGAUGCACUCCUAUCCGCCCCAUGAUGGCGUCAUUGAAAUAAUAUGCGCGCUUUGCGUUCCGGUGUGAUAUAGAGGUCUUAACCAUAAACUCAGGAUGUAUUUUUUUGUGGCAAAUUUUGGCAAUAUUUGCACACAACGCAGCAGGCUACGCGACGCUCGUCGACUUCAGGUAUCGUCAGGACAGAAGGGAAAUGGUAAAUAAACUAUUACCGUGAAGUCCCAAAUCUUUUUUGCUGAGCGCCGAAACUUCGCCUGCCGAAGGUAUUCUUUAACCAGGUAGCUUUCCUGUCCAAAUUGCAAAGCCUGCCCUGGAGCUGCCUUUUCAUCUAACUUUCGUACAUAUCUGUCGUACCUACCUGCCCUACCUGCCCUAAAAACACCAUUUUCUCCACCACCAGCCAACAAACGGGGUCUACUGUCCAUACAUGCGUACAAUGUUGCCGUACAAUUAUAUCAUAGAUUUAUAUCUAUUAUUAGAAUUACUAUCUGCCCGGCAUUGACCCGAAACCCGUAAUGCGCUUUUCACAGAGUCCCUCUCUAGGACCACUUGACGGUGAUGUCAAGUGGCUGAAUGUGGCCCCCCACAGCCGCCAAUCCUCUUCCCGUACAGUAUCGUACAGGCCGUUGCCCCCCUCCCCAGCUUAUGCACACAGCGCCAUCAACGAGCAUCAACGUGAUCUCCCUAAGACGCCACGCGCUGGCAGUAUAUGUGCUUUUUAGCAUCAUCUAAUCCACGAGUUCGAGAGAACGCAAACCAAAUUCAGAUGCCUACAAAUUCCCUACAGAUCCCUACGUUCCCUACAGCUUGCUUAUUACCUCAUCCACAUGGUGAUGCUGACUAGGAUGCCACCAUCAAGCCUCGCCACGACAUCACAUUAUGACCUCCCCUUUUUAUAACAUGUCCGUCUAUACAUUAUCCUCCGCUAAAUGAAUACAAAGCCGCCUUCAGUGCCCCCUACUACCGGCCCGUACACAAAUUUGCGCAAUCUGUUAUGUAAACUUGAAAUUAUUUCAGUGCAAGUGAUCUCAUUUCAACCGACUGAUCCCGUGAAUAAUGAGUUCGUUGGCCGUUGCAAUCCAAUCGGUUGAAAACUUGGAAUCGGUUGCAGCCAAAUGACGCAUGGCCCGAGUACGCAUGUCUUUUACCGAAUAACUGUCCAGUACGCAUGACUCAUCGACAUACCAAUGGCUCGAGCAUGUACGAAUAGUUCCAGGAUAGAUAAUUCGUACAAUGUACGAACGUGGGAAGUGUGUGCGCGCGCUAACUGACAACGAGAAGCAUGAAUACGAAUCGUUUCAGCGUACAAAAUCAUCCGACAGGAGUAGCUCCAGUACGACUGAAUGCACGACAUAGCGCUCAACGGCUCAACCGAGCUAUCUAACGGACACCUUACGACACACGCACUCGCGGCGGCAGCAGCGUCACCUUUCCUUGUACGACAUCCUCCACCAGCCGUCGUGCUACAUCCGCCCCUACCGCCGCCACGACGUCCACAAAGCCGGCGGCGGCGGCGGCGGCGUCCAGAUUACCAUCACCGGCACCAACAGCCCCGAUGGCGCGCUUCGAAUGACCAACCUCAACAGGUAUGCUCCGAAAUUCGCUACCGCCGCCGCCGCCGCCGCCGCCGUCAGCACGCUCCACGCCCUCCCUCCCCUCCGCCCGGCUAGGACCAGCAGCGCCUUGCCGCGACUGGUCCUCGGCGGCAGCGCCGCUGCGCUCCGAAACCGGCCAAUGAGCAUUCGCUAGCCGCUCCAUCCACGCCCCACGCAGGUACGGCACGUCGUACUUGGUCUGCGCCGCCGCGAUGCGUUCUCGCAAUGGAUCCAGGUCGACAUCCAGUCUCAGGGGCAGCACGGCACGCAGCGCGGGUGGCCAAGGGGGCAGCCCGAACGUCUCCCGUGCCAGCGACACAGCCGCCGCGGCGACGUGCGACGGUGCCGCGGCGCAACACGCGGGACACAGUAGCGACAGGUGGAGCAGGAAACCCGCCAAGUGCAGUGCCCCCGACGUCGACGCCGACGUCGAUGCCGACGCCGACGCCGUACCGGAAUCCAGCGCCGUCUCGGCGGCGUCGGCAGCCCAGAUGCCGCGUAGGAAGUGGCGGGCAGUGGGCGCCGCCAAAAGUACGGGACGUGUGGUACGGCAGCGGCACUGGCGGCACGGCAGCGGCGGCACCGGCGGCUGCGACAGCUGCUGGCCUACGUUUACAGUCUGUAGUGAACCUGGCGAUGGCCUUCCGAAGACGCACUCCAACACCAAGCCGGUCAUUCGCUCGACGUCUUCGGAGCUGUACACGUCCGCGCAUAGGUGGGCGGCCGCCGAUGCGGAUGAUGGCAGUCGCUGGUGUGAUGACGGAUCUGACGGAUCUGCAACCGGCGACUCUGUUGCUGCCGUCGCCCCGAUCGCCGUCGCCGUCGCCGUCAGCUGCAUGGCCGUGGUCACCGCCGCCGUGUCUGCAUGUAUGUCAAGACUGCAGCAGGGGCUGUCCUGCAAGCGUGGCGCUCCGAAACCUGAGCAGCACGUGUCCUUCGGAGCAGCGCCCGCUUGGUCCUCCAUGCGAUGAGUGAGCAACUGUUGGCCUUGCACCGUCGCUCUCAGACAGCUGAUGCCCACCAAUUGUAACCUGCGGAAAAUUUAUUAUGUAAAGUUUAUAUGGGCGAAGGUUAAAGACGGCAGAGGCAAUAAAUCUUUCGUCUCCCUGAUGUGAGACCAGGAGAGAAUUCGUAAUUGUAUGACAUGUUGGUCCAAAUUUGGAUCCAAAGUGGAUUGCAAAUGCUAUGGAACCGGUGUGGUUGCUAUGCAAACCCUAUGUGGAUCCUAUUUUGAUGCGGUUAAAUUUGCUUCAAUAAAGAAAACCAUUGGUGCGGGAGCGAGAUGAGCAGGUUUUGAUUCUGGAAAUGUUGCGCCAGAUUUUGUAAACCUGGAUCCUGGUCUUCCUGAAUCCAUUGUGGGGUAUGCAAUUGAAAAAAAACGGAACUUACAUUUGGACACUGGUGGGCGGCACUGCAGCUAGGAAGGCGUCCAUGAUGCGUACGGCAAAGAAGAUGGCGGCGCCGUCGAGGCUCCAAGCGUACGAGACCUUUCAGGCCAGAAAGUGUUUGGUUGGGGUCAGCGGCAAGCGAUAUGCAGGGUGUACGGCAUGAAAUGUACGACCCGCGGCAGGUCAAUGUAUUCUGUCCUGUGUCAUGUCAGUGUUUGAGCUUAUUGUACGAAAACUGUAUUUAAACAGAGUCUAAACAAGAUCCAAGAUGUUGGCCGCUUUUCGCCUAGUAGAAAGUUUUGGGUUUUUUCCGUGAUGACAGCGUGUAAGGUAGUCGUACAACUGCCGUACCUGAACCAGCCACUCCACGAGCAUCACGCGCCGCCCCUCUACCAUGUGUUCGUUGAACGUAAGCGAUGGGUCGGUCGUUGCCGCGGAAGAUGACUGGAUCAUCAAGGCGGUCCGCACGACAUGCUGCCAGAACGUUUUUGGCCUGGCAACGCCUUUUGCUAGCGCAUCCAUGGCCACGUCCGCCACUUUUGGCCAGUUGCGAUGACAGAAAGCUUUGAAAGCUGCCUCUUUGAGGUUAAGCAGCGUCGUGCAUGUGGAAAGCGCGGUGCAGAGGCUCGCAGUGUCGGACGCAAGCCCGAGGCAUGUCACCUGAAUCUCUACAGGAAGCUCCAAAAAGCGAAAUAAUGAAUUUAACUUGGGAAAAGUUGUCAUGUGGGCUCGUCAGCUUAACCAGGCGCUGCGACCCACAAAAUUGGUCUGCUCGAUAUGCACCAGCGGACGAAAAAGACUGGAGACAACUGAAAAUUGGAAAUUGCUGCUUGCUUGACAGGUAGAGCUUCGAGCUUACACUGAAAUGGGAUUUGCUGCAGGCGCGAAGCACAACGCAGUAAAAUGGAUAGCGGUAUUCCAGGACUACCAAAAGGCGGGCGCAUAUGCAGCAUGAGAAUUACAAAACGACCAGCACGUGCUAAAGCUUAUUUUGUUAAUGCUGAUUGGAGAUUUUAUACGACGAGUUGUCGACGUAAAUCGAUGCAUGCACACUAUUGAAUUUCGCACAGCAAAACUGAGGCACUGCGAAAAAAACAACUUACAGACGCACAAGGCGAGUGAAGCAAAGGCCCGUGAUAUUGCAAGUAGGCUUUCACAGUUCUGUUUGGGUUGCAUGCGUUUGUGAUGCUUGCAUGGCAACCUGCGACAUGCCAGUAGAGCACCAACGGCCAACCGCCGAUUGUACGGCAAAUUGUCCUUUAAGCAUAACCAGCCGCUGACCAGAUCAGAAUUGCUUCUUUUGCCAAACCAGGAGUGACGCAAGAGUGGCGCAAUGCGAAAGCGUAGGGAAAGAAGCGAGGGGAUCUGGGGAAAAACCGCACGUUAUGCUUUGCAUGGAUAGAGAUUUUCUAACCCUGUUUGAACUGUCAAGCUCCAUUUCAAACAAGCUAUAUAACUUUGUCAGCAGAGAAACGUAUUAACCCAACGCCCAGCAUGCCCUGGCACAAUUUCAUAACCUUUCAGUGGCGACAAUGAUGCACAUCCUGUUCCCAUGGAGUAACAGAUCUUUCUGAAUGAGUUCUUUUGCUCGCCUCUUGCAGUUGCUGGGAGCAAAUUGCUGGUAAACAAAAUCGACUCGUCAACCGUUACCCCGCACGACGAGGGAUGAGCAGGUAUAGGUCGUCUGCCUCUUCAUGGCGUGCACCAAAUCGGUAACAGGAGCGCGUCGUUGCAUGGAAUGCAUGUCGUGCACAGGAAAGCCGUCACGCGUGCGUCAGCUGGUUCAUGGCCAUAAAGAGCACCAAGAUUCGGAGCUUGCCAUCAUUCGCAGAAGACCGCCAGAGUGUUUUAAACGCUUAACUAAUGCUACAUUCAAAUUUCUACUGUCGCACAGUUGAUAUCGACCGUAUGCAAACGACACAAUAGUGCACGGCACGGUACUGAGACGUGACACGGCUUUGUACCCAACAGCGGACAGCUUCCCGGGCGCCUGCAGUAUUCUCUUGGGCGCCAUCUGCUCGAUAGCUCGCAGCGCGUAGAAUAUAAUAGCUGCGACGCGGCACCAGAAGGCACCGCAAGAAGAUAUGUCGGCGCCUCUAGACAUGCACGUCGAUAUACAUCAUAACAUAGAGACACUAAAACACUAAAAACUAAUUUUAUAAUAACAAACGAGACAGUUAUAAACAAUAAUUCAGUUACUUUACACAACAGUCAACACGCCUUAGCACGACCAGAGCACUUCCACGGCCAUGGCCGCCAAAGCCGUCGACACACACACAGGCGACCCGAAACCAGCUUCGGCAGCUCGCUCAACACGGCUGCAGCGACCAUAGCGCCACCAAGCACGCCCUAUCGGCAACUUUGGCCUAGCUACGCCUAGCACUGGACCUCAGGCACCAUGGCCAUCACAGCUACAGGGGCUACCAAAGGAUCAUGCUCCAACAGCAACCGUUGUGCGCCGCCGUUGCCCAUCGCCGAACCGCCGCCGCCGCCCCUCACGGCCUGCUGCUCAGGUCUCCUGCCAAUCCUCCUGCUGACCCGAAACUGCACCUGUCCCACCUGCUGCUGCUGCUGCUGCUGCUGCGCAACCCACUGCGGCGAAUCCGCGCACCCCGCCACCGCCAGAGGCUUCGUCCCACACGGUGAGCCCUCCGCGCCAAAGCCCUCCGGAUAGUCAUCGCCUGCGCUGCCGUCCUGCGCCGUUCUCCAGAGCGCCGACGACGACCCGUGGGUCACGGAUGCCGCCGACGCCGACGCCACCAACGGCAUCAUGACGGAUCGGUCCAACGGCUGAGCAGACAUGAGCAAGGACGCCACAGGAAGCGGCGCUUGGUGGCGGCUGACGGGGGCAGCGGAACGGCUGUGAGUGGAUGAGACGGCCACCGAUGCCUUAGCCAGGCCGCCCAGCUCAUCCUUGGCUGCCGCCAGCAGCCGCCGGCGCUCAAGCCUAGCGCCCAUGGCCUGCCCCGCUAUGGCCGAGCAGAUGGUGAAGAGGAUGGCGUACUUUGGCAUAAUGACCGCCUUCCGCAGCAUUGCAAUGAAGGGAAUGGUCUGUGGCGGAGUCACAUAGGUAAUAUUAUAGGGGGGACAUGAAACAUGAGGAACUGGGGCGAAAGAGCACUGGGGUAGUCUGUGAAAUAUGCGGCGCGAAUCACCGGAUGCACUGCGGUCUAGCCUGCAUGGCGGACGCCAUCAGCACACAAGACGAAAGAGAGCAGGCACGGCAGAGCACACAAGCGGCAGAACGUCAUUAGUUUAGAAACAGCUUGAUAUGUCGAGAUGGCGUGACACAACACGCCAAAAGGAAAAAGAGAAGGUUGCUUUAUAAAUGGCAACUGGAACAUUAAAUAGUGCCCAAGGUUAUUUAGCAGGACUAGACUCCAACGACUGUUGAAUGACCAAUCAACAAGAAACGAACAGCAGCUCUGCCUCAACUGUCAUCCCAAAGACUCUACAGGGCAAAACAGCCGUGACAUCCGCGACAGCUGGCAGCUGACAAAGGACCUCUCCUCACAUCCACAUUCGCGCCACCGGAGCAACAUUGCUGUGGGAAGACUUACCGCGUGAACCGCAAUGAACCAUUGUGAUGAAAACUUCUCCGUGUGCUCCCUCCACAUGCCUGGAAGGCAUCGGGGGACGGGAACGGGGCGCGGAGAAAGACGAACCACAGACGAGUAAAUGAAAUAAAAAGCGUUUAAUUAUUUUUUUCCAAAUAAGCCGAUACCAGGGAUAAGACUGAUACUCCAGGAAUCGGCGGCGGGAACUGGGGGGAAACGAGGGACUCAGAGGGGUGCGGUGCGCAGGUGGAAACUCGAAAUGGUGCAGCAGCAAGAUGACCUCCUCGUCGUUAGCCGGGGAUGUCAAUGUUACACAAGGAUGCCUGCUUCCGUUGUUUGCCACCGCGGGAGAGUUAGCCACUUAGGCGAGGGAAUACACAGAAAAAGCUGCUUCGCGGCAUCUGACCUCUGCUACGCCAUAUGGCUCAUUUGCAGACCUGGCUGUGACAGCCCUGCGCUAUCAUACCGGGGACUAAACCUGGACCUUAUCAAAUCCAACCAAAUCGUAUUCCCGCGGUCUUCCCAGGGUUUCUAUCGUUAGCCCCUUUUUCCAGGCCUGCCAUGUUCUGCUCCACCACGAAACGCACCGCAAGGCACAUUGAGCACAGCGGUAGUCAUAGCGACUGCCAGGAGCUUGAUGGGAAGCGCCUGCGGCCGAAGCUCGCGGACGGGGCGCGUUGCUGCUAGCGCAGCACGCAUCUUGACAAUCGGCUCCGGGCAGGAUAAAUGGCCAUGCUUGUUGAAGACAACGCCGGCUAAAGGGCCCAGAGCUCUUCGCAAUGGGCACUUGCCUCCACCUGUCGUGCCGGCGCCGUGCGCGCUGGCUGAACCCGGGCCUCCCAGCCCGGGACCUGAAAGCCCUCCGUACUGGUUUCCUCUGGGCUGCUGCGGCUGUUGAGGUGGCUUGCGCUGCUGGGCCCGAUGUUGAUUUAGGUGCUUCUGAAACAGGUGAUGAAUAUUGAACUGUAGGGCAAGCAGGGACGACCGUGGAAUCAGGGUAUAUAUUUUGUAAGCCCGGGCACUCAAGGUUAAGCAAGAACGUGAUCAUAUAAGCAAUCACACGCCGACACUAAGUGCCGGUACCAAACAUGACAAGUACACUCCUUACCCAAUUGCUGCCCCAGGACAUAGACAUCGAGGCAAAAGGAGCAGCCGCAAAAAGAGGAGCGUCGAAACUGGAAGUGUCGCUAGUGGGCACCCCAGCCGAGAAAGGGCACCGAGGCCUCUCAGGCUCAGCAGGCGCAAUAGGCUGCUCCAUAGGGUACAGAACUUUUUGCUCCGCCACAGAAAGAUGGGGCAAAGGAAGAACGCCAUUCUGCCCGUGAAAGAGCGCUAACGUCCUAGUAAAGUCACUACCAUCGUCAUCCUCUGUGAGCACGGGACGGUGCGCGCUACCAUGCCCACUGGGGCAGGUCGACUUGCAAGCAAGGCUAGUGGCAUACUCUGUGCCAUGAGUCUGAGCAAUGUUGUGUAAGAAGGGACACUUUUUCAUCGCAUCGCCCAGUGCAUCAGCACCAGGAAAACAAAAGGGCGCCAUUUCGUUAGGUCACUUGCAGAACCCCCUAGAAUGCUUCUCAUGACUUAUUGUCAGUCUCCUUCAUGUGUCCUUUCGUAGGUUUGCGGCAGACUCGUACAUCGUACAUUACAUUGUAUUUAUGGCAGCUCUCAAGGCUCUCAAAUCAUUGGACUCUCUAUCGAUAAUUUCUCCAUAUAAAUGUGCAGUUUUGGGGCGGUUGCGCUGUGUUUGUCAUGGAUGACGUGCAACGUCCGACCUGUGACGCUGCAAACGGUGUCACUCGAACGCUAGCAUCUAGGGAUGGUCCCCGGGCUGAAGGCAUAAUGCCCCACCAAAGCUUACGUGUAAGGGCUAUGAGGGUCUAGAAUUUCCAUAGGCGCACGGUUUGCAAAUUUCCUAAUUGAUUAUAGAAUUUUAAGGGAAAUUUACCGAAUUAGCUUUCCGUGGAUGCGUCCGUGCGAGACAUUUCAUACACCGUUCCAGCACACUGACAGCAGAACGCAACACUGUCUAUGCUCCGAUUCGCAGAAUGAUGAAUUGACUGCAGGAUUCGGAGAAGGCCAAUGCUCGGGAAUGCUUUAACGAGAUGUGCUGUGCUAUAUUGCCAUCUUGCUUGCGCCAAGAUAGGUUUUCCUUUACGUCAUGUUUCAGGGUACCAGAAGCCAGGUCCUUAGAAGGAAAUUUAGCGGGUUUGGCGGGGGGUAAAGAGCGCUCUGCCCGUUCUCGCGGCGGCUUGGUCUACCGCCUUGCCUGCACCUCUUCCAAACGAACUCGACAAAAGCCGCCGUGGUUAAGCCCCCCACCUCCCUUGCCGACCGCUUUAUUCCCCAACCUCCCUGGACCUCUGUCCCACUUGCCACAUUCGCCUCUACCUUGCCACAUUCGCCCCUAUCUAAGCCUCUAGACCACUAUCACCCGGCCAGAGUUUAUACUAUCCGGUACCUCACCCCUUGUAAACUGCUCCUGCCUAAAUCCAACGCGCCCUUGCGUAGGCUCCUGCCCGCCCCCUCGUUACCCCCCUAGCUAGAAAUCCUCUGUCCCGCAGCCACCACCGCCAGCCGCCUCCGCAGCCAAGUUAGAUCGCAGGUAAUCCACAAACAUGCGACGGGCUGCGGCUGCGUCAUGCAGGCGAGCAAACGUAAUCUUGGUGGCGAGCUUGAGGAAGGCGCGUUUGUGGCGGCGCAGCUCCGCUAGCGUCAAGGCGCGACGGAGCUCAAGCUCCAUGGGUGGACCACUGGUGCCCCCACCGAAGCGCACCACCUCGGCGGCGCCGCCGGCUGCUGCGGCCUGUGCGUCCAUGAUGGUGUUGAUUACCUCCUGAAUGUGUGAUGGGUGGAGGCGAAAUGGGGAGGAGCCCGAAAUUAGAAACAUCAGUUGUACACUGCGUACUCCUGGCCGACUAUGGCAGGAGGUCAUCCUCUCCGACUGGUUGGUUAUGCUUUCUUCACAUCCGCCGCAGCAAUCUUUCCUUGGCGUCAGCUUCACUCGCUCGUGGUUCGUCUUUCCCCUCUCCCAUGUUGUCCCCAAAACGAAGAGACAACAGAUACAAAAAGAGCGUGAAAAAAAUCCUAAACCUAAAACGAUCGCUCAACUACAGUUGCUGAAAACGUAGCCGCCCUCCUGAGUCGCCAUCCCUGGCCCCUGCUAUCCCACCACACACCUGGGCCGCCUGGUCUAUUUCAUGCAGAGUGUUGGUGGCCAGUAGUGCGGGGUUGGAGGUCGCCAUAGUGGGGGUCAGGUCGCGGGCAACCUAAGGGAGGGAGGCGGUGUGGGUCGGGUGGAGAGGGGUUUCAGGGAGCAGGGUUGUGGGGAGGUGCCAGAAAGGGCUUUCAGAGGGUAGCAUGCAUGCACGCAGAAGGCAAAAGUACGGGAAGAGAAAAAAAUCGGGACGGGAAAAGGACGGAGGACACAGAGGGUGAUACUCCCACGACUUUCCGGUGCCUUACCCGAGCCUGGUGGUUGGUCUGUUCCUCCGUCAUCGCGCGUACGACAGCUGCCAGCACAUCCGCCUCAGCCUCACCGCCCUCGCCGCAGCUGCUGCAGCCGGUGCCGGCUGUCGCGGAAUGGAGGAGACCCCAGCGGCGACGAGGAAAGAGAGCCACGAGAAACGGCGGAUGUUUGGUACAGGAGGGUGUGUGGGUAAAUGGAUGGAGACUUGGGCGUUCAACGGGUCCUCCUUAGCUCAUAGUGGAUGCCAACGUCUUCACCUUACGGCAGCCUCUCUGAACCCCAAACCUGAUGGCCUCUUGCCCAAACCCAGUACCCUCCUUCCUGUAACCAUGAUGCCCCUUCGCCAGUAAAACAUCAAACACCCAGAGAACCACCUGGGCCCCCCCUUAGCCCCCACUUCCUUGUCCCUCACCUUCCGCCCCGACCCCACACACCUGCCGGGUGCAAUGUGAACAGUGGGGCAUCCCAACGAUUCCGUGAGUCUGGCCGCUCGAAGCGCCCGGCUAGGUCGUCAAAGCUGGAAAAGAAGAAAAGGCGGGAUAAGGGAGUCCAAAGGGCGGCGGCGUGAAGAGGUUUGCGAAGGUACGCCUACAUCCCAAAUGCUGACAUGCUGUUGUGCCAGCCACGGCUUUCCAACCACCAGGACGGCAACGUCCUGUGCCCUGCGGCCCGCUGAGCCUUGAGUCCCAGGACCUCACAUGGGAAUGACCUUACCCGCAAUCUCUUCCAUCAUUACACGGCCUGGCUGUCCUUUUAUCUGUUCCCUGCUGCCACCAUCGCCGCACCGACCAGUGCUUUAAUCUCCUUUUCCUAACACACCAUCUCCAUUUUCCUGCCUGCCCCCCCCAGCCAGCCUUCUGCUGCGGCGGAUGGGCGGGCCCCUCCCCUUGCCAUCCACUCUUCCUACCCCUCCUUAUCACCCUGAUCCCACGCUUACAUCUCGUAUUCUUCUUCUAUACCUCCCAAGAUGCAGAGGACAGCUACUGGCACACAACGCGCAAACAUGUCUGUAAAUUUCAGACAGCUGCGUCAUUGCCUUUGCCUUGGAGCCUUGGGCAGUUUGCGGCUUUGGACAGCAGUCCGGCAUUUGUUUUUUGGACAGCAGCCCUUCUUGACUUUUAAGAUGCAUGCCUUCGCCCUCUACGUUUCCCUCCAGCACACUACGUUUCCCUCCAGCGCACAACGACUCCGCCGCCAACAACGUCACCUACAUCUCCUGGCGAUAUCGCUCCGAUUCGGGUCGCGCCGCGUUCCAGGCGCUGCACGUGGCCACAUCCGUGUCGACAUGUACCUUGCGGCGGUGCGAGGUCGGCGGGUUGGUAGCGGUGGCGGAGGUGGGUUGAUGGUGGUGGUUGUGCUGAUGAUGAAAAUGAUGUUGAAGAUGGGUCGGUCUAUCUGCGGCCGGGAGCGCGCAGCAGCACAGGGACAAGAGUGGAGCAGGCGGAAAAGGCACGGGUGCUUGCAUUGGGGUGCCGGCUACAUGCUCGAAGACAAAAAUCGGAAGUUUGAAAAAAAAAGACUAAUAAGCGAGAACGAUAUGUCGAGAAUGAACAUCGAGUGAGGAUGCUGUCGGGUGUUGAGAUGAGCAGAUGGAGAUACGUCACAAGGCUGCGUCCAAGGGAAAACGACACGGGAUUGGGAAAAGGGCACAAGGCCCUCAACCCUCAGACGGACCCGCACUAAUCAAGCGGCAACCCAGCCGACGGGAUUUCUUGGCAUGGCACGAUCAAAGAGCCAAUAUGUCCCAUGGUCCAAAAGCAAGGAGGAAUUCAGGUGAGGAGGUGGCAGCGCGGCAGGCACGGGCUUGGCAUUUAGGACGCCCAGACGUCCAUCGCGCCUCGGUGCAGCGGCUUCUCAAGCGCAUGUUCCCGCGCCCGUAAAUGGAACCGUGCCAGUUCAUAACAAUAUUAGUUACUGCAUAUAAAUUUUACGUACCAUUGUAUUUAUGUACUGUUAUUAAGUUACUUAAUUUAAUCUCUUCCCCCAUCCAUGCCAGAGCCACCCCAUUCGUGUCGUUCACGUCUGGGUCCAUGCAGGCAUGUCGGUAUCUGAACUGAAUAGGAGCAUGUCCAAGUAGUAAGGGAGCAGGGCUGGAGCGGAUUGCUCUCACACCGGGGCUGUGCUGCCUUGGCCAUUGAAUCAGAGGUGCUCAUGUGUUUCAGAUUCAGACAGGAAAGGGGAAGUUAAUUAACGGCCUAAUGGCCGUGCGCGUGCCGUGCGUACCUGCAGGCUUUGUGGCUGCGGAGUAAUCGAGAACAAGCUGCAUGGCUUUUGCAAAUGCCCAGCCUAUGGCCUUCCAGAUACAUAUGAGGGGGCCAUUGGCUUCCGGAGGCGCGAAAUGCUUAGUACUAUUAACGCAGAUGCCCAUAGCCCAUAGCUGUGGCUACUUUUUUCUCGGAGUCUGGGUCGGCUUUUAUAGACGCCCCCUGCAUUUGUGCGGAACUUGCAACUUGUCUGGGUCCCUGUCUCACGUCCAGGAAACAGCGGAGCCACUCUCCCCGCUCCACCAUGCGUUCGUCUCCGUUUUUCACCGUCCUGUCCCGGACGCCCUCUCCUUUCCCCAAAUCCCCUUUCCUCGUACAAUACUUCCAAGCACGUCUCACCAUGCAAUACCUCGUCCCCGCCGCUCUCGCGACGCACCACAGCUCGUACCGGUAUCCCUAGGUGCAGGACAGGGUUGCAGGGCAGGGGACAGGGGACAGGACAAGGAAGAUGAGCGGAACCGGAGGGCAAUGGGACGGAUUUCGGGAAGAAGGCGGGCGGAGGGCCGUCCCGUGUUGGGCAGGCUGGGAAUUACAUGCAAAAGUCAAAGAAACAACUGCAGGAGGCAGGGCGCGGCAGGGUGUAGUAUCAAGGUUUUAAGUUACUCAACGAUCCAUCAAGUGUUGAAUGUGCGAACAAAACCAUGAAAACCCUUAGUCAUGAGCCCUACAGCAAGCGCCUACGGCAGUCUUCCCCACCUUAAUGUUAUUAAUCGAGUCCAAGAUGGUGACGCUCUUACGCCCCACGAGCCGUUCCACCUGCGAUUUUAACUUGGCCCGAGUGUUCUUCUCGUUGACAACACCUGUACGGGAAAGAGCGAGAGGGGAUAGGGCUGGGGUUAAGGAUGGCGGAAAACUGCAAACCCAGGUUCAGGAGGGUUGCGUGGGUUUUACGCGCCCUUAGGCCCUUCGCGGCGGGACCGGUAAUCCUCAGGCAUUGGAGGUGCGUGGGUGCGUGCGUUUCAAGGAAAAAGCACCCCAGAGGAUGGGACGAGGAGCGAGGAUGGGACAUUCAUGGGGGAAAAGGGUGGAAAGGGGUGGAAAGUCAAGUCUAUGGAGGGAAAGGGUGGAAAGUCAAGUCUAGAAGCCACGCGGCCACAAUGGCGAUGAAGGGGAACUGAGUAAAACUGAUGAAAUUGAGGCGACGGGGAAGCACCUCGCAGAGAGCACCGCACGAAGGGAGUAGUAGAGGUAGGGGAGAACCAUGCCCCACGGGUAGGAUACCCGGGGGGAAGACAGGUCAUGGAUUUACUACAUGGGAAGAAAGACGCCGAACUAGGGACAAGUAAUGCCGCGGCGACCGCGGAUUUCGGCGUGGAAUAGAUGCUUCUACAGGAUCGGCCACCCAUACGGAGUUGUUUGGCAGGCUUUAAGGGUAUUACGCUUCGCAUAUAGUCUUGCCUUGCCUUCUCCCUCCUCCUUUGUCCGAAGCUGGCAUAAAUUGCCUCUGCCAGCCUAGGGCUGUUGCCGUCCCCGUCCUUCCAUAUGCUGCGUAAAGCGGUUCCCGCCACCCAGGGGGCCAACCCCACACCCGCUCCCACAAUUAAGGUGCUUCCGAGCUAUUGAAACAUAAAAACAUGACAAGAACAUGCUGAUCCUUGCAACGCGGAGCCGCCAUAUAUGCUCAUGCCUUGCCUGUGUACGCCGCAUUUCGGUCCAGAUGCAAAGAAGGCUCAUCCACUAGCUCCACGGGAAGACCAACUUCUUGGAAUAAGGGAAGCAGCUUAGCAACUGUGCUGCUCUUGCCGGAGCACGGCUGCCCACAGACAACAACUAGGGGCAUCUGGAGUGUUCAGACAACUGCCAGUGUUACCCCUACAGGGCGCGUAUUGCAUAGGAGAGUGCAAACAUAAAGAGAAGUGUAACUGUCUAAGCAAAAUGACAUUACGGGCAACGGCGUAGCUUUCUUUCUAUCCUGGGUACGGCUUGCUUGACCGACGGGGACCGAGCGGCUCGCCGAAUUGGCCUGUUGCCAAGCUGAAGUAAACAAACAUCUUUAGGCAGAAAUGCAUCCGUGUAUGUGUGGACGCUCCGUCCUGAGUAGUCAAGUCUCCGAGGCCUGAUCUACGAAGAUGCUUGACACUUUUUUCAACUUCUUACCUUUACUAUUUUGACGAGACCAGGCGGCUUAGCUACGUGCUGAAAAGUUUGAAUUUGGUUGUCAGCUCGGACUUGGUGUGCGGCAUCUGCUUUUCAGCCUCAGAAGGUCGCACUGUAUCAGGGUUCAGGCGUUUGGCGUGGUAAGCAACCAGCAGUUAGGGUUGCUCUGGCCAUAAACGCUCGGUGGAAGUGCAGUGCGUCUCCGGCGGACUGCGCCUGCGUCAACCCCGCCAUUUCCGCUUUGUCAACGCCGGGGGCGACUCAGCUCCAUAAGCGUUGCUGGUUUCCAGGCAUUUAGGGUGACACUGGGGACCUCUGGGAGCUCCCGCAGCCCCGCAAGGCCAUGGGGUAGUGGGCUAGCCGCUGAGCGCGGCGCAUCUUGUCCUUACGUUCAGCGCUCCUGAAGUGCUGGCGUGGCUUCCAGGAAGACUGGCAAAUAUAGCAGUUACAGCUUUCACCGCUGCUCAUUUUCCAGACCAGUCUGCUGUUGGCGACUUCCGUGAGCUCUUGUCCCGGAGCUCGGCCAGCCUGGCAGCUUUUUAGCAAGGGAGAAGCCCGUUACCAUGCAGCAGCGGACAACGGGCAGCCUCGAUACCCCAGGCGCAAUGCCUGACCCGUUCAAGCAGCCGACGGAGUACUUGCUGGCUUUUCUCAACCGCAUCGCCAUGCUGGACAAGGAGGGCUUCUUUCAGCGACCAGUCCGCGAAGAGGAGGCGCCAAAUUAUUACAGCAUAAUUAAGCAGCCAAUGUGCUUCGCUGAUAUGCGUGAGAAGAUUGCCGCUGGUUUAUACCAGACGUGGCGGCAGCUGCGGGAUGACUUCAACCUCAUCCAUGAGAACGCUCGCCGGUUCAACUCAAACAAAACGCUUGUGCAUAGGGCAGCGUUAAACUUACAGAAAAAUGGUAACAAAGUCUUGGCUAACUAUGAGCUGGAAGUCCGCAAAGCUAUUGCGGUGCUGCACCCGCUCGGAGCCCAACAGGCUGCAGGGCAGGCUGCGGGGGCCCAGGCCCCGGCUUCCAGCGCGUCGGCAACAGUUACUGAAGGACGCAUGGACAUCGCCACGUCUCCGAUAGGCACCGCAACUGUAUCCGGUCUUCUGCAAGCGCCAGAGCAGAACGGCGAAGGGAUGGGUUUGGACGCUGCCGUUCCGCGAACCAGCAUGUCCGGACCACCGUCACCAGAGGGCGGUGUUGACGGGGCCGGCUUGCCGAUGACCGGGUCGGGUCCUACGACAGGCAAGGCGCGACAGCCCUUCCCUGCCAUAUUGCUUCCGCCGGCGCCACGUGAUCCGCUAGUCGGCUACAUAUCCGAUGAAGAUGAUCAGCCUUUGCUGGUUGUGGGUACGGAUGCUGCGGCCGCGACAGCGGCUGCAGCGGCCAGCCGAAGCCUGCCGGGGCUGGGACCCUCGCACGCACUGCCGUUGGACGCGCUUCUCUCGCAGCUACGGACAGCCGCCGUACGUAUCCCAUAUUCUUGUCCUAAGAGACAGAAAGGAGAUGGGCGAGGGGGCGGCGGCGGUGGUGCUUCAAGUGCGGAAGGCGCUGCGCAGGGAGCUGCGGGACAAAGCACGAUCCCUGUACCCAGCCAGGAGUGGCGGCAGGCACGCCGGCCUGUAGAGCUCAGAGCUCGUUGGUUAGAGCUGCGGAUGCGGGAGCUCCGGAGCCAGCAGGAGCGAUUACAGACCCAGAUCAAUUGGCUGCAGCAGCGGAAGGCAGCGGGGGAGGAGGGCAUCGUCGGCAAUGCGCUUAAUGCGGGGUUGGGCCGGCCCGCAGUGGGGUUGCUUGCGGCGGCAGCCGGCCUGGCAGCUGCACCGUGCGGCGCGGAGCGGGAAGCGCUGGUCUCUGCAGCAGGAGAGUUCAUGUCUGCAGGCCGCGUAUCUAGCUCUCUCUACUUCCGGCUCCGCCCGUCGACGCAAGGCCCAGCUGCGGCCGCCUCUCCGCUGGUCAAUGACGUCUCGACGCCGGUGGCUCAAACGGACGCUCCUGCUGACCCACCCCAGGCGGCCGGCCCCAAUGCCGCCGUCCGUUGUGACUCCGACCGCCAGCUGCAUGCUUCAGGUUCCGGUGUUUCAGAUUCGGGCGCUUCAGGGCGCUCUGAGGAGCUCUGCCGCACGAUGCCGCCACCCAAGCCGCCGUCGCAGCCUGGGCAGCCCCAGGCAGCCUCACUCAGGCAGUCACAGUCGCAGCAGGGUCCCGGGCGACCAGCAGUGCAGCCGCUACCGCUGCUACCGCAGCAGCUGCCGCCCUGUGACGAAGGGGAGUCAGACAAGAUGCUGUCAGGCGCAAUCUUCGCGUCCCUGGAGCUAUUGGAGCAGAGGCUUUCAGUCGUGCGAGCGCGGCUGCAGGAUACGUACAAGUUUGACCCCACUAGGCUGGCCGUGGGCCGGACGCACGGGCCUUGUGCCAGCCGUGUCCCCAGCUACCAACUUGCAAGCUCGGGUUCGUUGGCAACGGCAGGAGCGCCAGGAACACAGAUGCUGCCUUCUGGGCCCUUGGCCGGCCACGAAGCUGUCAAGCGGCAGUCCAGCGGCCAGGGCCGGCGGCCGGGUAGCCUGACGGUCCUGACGCGCUUUGACUCGAUGGGCCUGCCCAGCUGCAAGAGCACUGGCACCGGAGGCAAACGAAAACGCAGCGAGGUGGAGCUGCUGGCUGGCGACAUAGGCACGCCAUUGGCGUCGUAUGGUCGUACGUCGCUGGACCGGAGCGCGGUACGUCAGGGAACAUGGGCCAGGCUAGAUGGCCGAUACGGUGGCCAGGGUAUUUACUGCGAGCUUAGCGGGAGAGAGAUGAAAAGCAGGUGGAGCGGACAGCAGAAGCGGUUAUGUAACAGUGGGAUCGUUGAGAGGUAGCGCUGAAUCCACCAGCUCCGUCUCGUGUGUUGCCGCUUCACGGCUUAUGAAUCCUUUAUGAAAGGCGGUUGCUGUGACCUAGAAGGAGGUAGUGCUAGCACUGCGUAUGUGCCGUAUGCUUUAUGCCACUGUUUUGCUCAAACCAUGCUCAUGUCCCUUAUCAUGUCCUGUCGUGGUUCACGCUGCGCAGUCCGUGACCGCCAUUGUCAUUCCGCCUGUCCGUGAGUUGGGCCCGGAUGAGUUCCGUGCGCGCAUCGUGGCGGCAACCACUUGGUCUCAGCACUACCAUACGACAGGUAAGUUCUCUGCAUGUGGAGCCGUUGCGGCAAAAAAUACAAAGGCGGGCGUAGACAUUACCCAGCCUCGAAAUGAGUCGGUUGUAAAAUGUGGUAGGGACAGCGGUCAGCUACGCCGCACAUCCAGACCUGGUUGACUGGCGGAGCCUAGGUUAACUACAUUAGUUACAACGGAGUUGUGUUUUGAUGCGCAAUGCAUGCUCUACGGCGAGGACUUAUCUUGGGAUGCUGACUGGGGCUGUACUCCGGCGGAGGGAAGACAGGCUUAAAACUAGCAUUCUGUGACCGAGAGCGUGCAUUAGCCCCUGGCAUUGUCGCUUUAGAAGGCUACGGAUAAUGCUUGCUGGAUUGCAUUGUGAAGCGCCCUAUCUGCUGGAUCCGGCGUGCAGGUCCCGCUGCGCUCGAUACGGUCCCUCCGGAGAUCCAGGUAGUCCUGCGAAAGCGACGCCGAAGGGGCCUAUGCGCGUCUGGCGAGGAGUACGACGAGGACAUGGGCAUGGGGCCCGGCGCCGGUCGCGGUGUGCUGAGCACGUCGGACGAUGAGGGAGGGGCGGUAGUCGGGGGUGGCGUGGGCGGGGGAGCUGCUGCUAUCAUGGGGGCCUACAGCGACAGCGGUGCUGGCGACGACGAGGGGUCCAGCAGCAGCAGUGAAGACACCAGCGACGAGGCCUAUGCGGCGCGGCACCGUAUUAUGGAAGAGGAAGAGCAUCGGCGUUAUGCGGCGGUAGUCGCAGGUGCGUACGGCGCUGCGUGCGGAUGCGUGGCACCAGUCUGUUCAUGGCCUUGGCGAGAGCAGGCGAAGCAGGGUUCUCAGGGAUAGUUAGGGUGCGUACGGCGCGGGUGUACGACCAUCUGAGCCCAUUAUAGCUGUACUGUGCUGUGUAUGUGGUGUCGGGUACUACCCCUUCUGGUCACACGUGCAUAACAAGCACACACCGCGGUCAGACCAGCGGGAACCAUGUCCGGAAAACGAUGGUUUCACCGCACAAUCAUCUUGCUGGGCUUUGCUCCGCGGCAUAUAUCAAACUUGCUGCUUGCGCCAUGCACUUGCAGAGGGCCAGCGGCGCCGUAACAAGGGAGGCAGCAAUGCCUCAGGCGGCCAGCAGAACCAGGCUAACAUGGCCGGUGGUGGGGCAGCGGCCAGCCAGGCAAAGGAGCGUGCUAAGGUUGGCAACAAGACCCCGCGCUAUAGCAGCAGCUUUAAACUUAAAGAAGGGCUGACGCUUGUAUCACCAGAGUUGCAGGUAGACGGCCCGGACAGCGCGCCACCGUCCGCAACGUACGGCCACUACCAACCGUACCAACCGUAUCAACCGCCAAUGGUGGGUAUUACGGCGAUGCCGCCCACACCCGGCUCGACGGCGAGCGUUCCGGUACUGUCCCAGCCUGUCAUCGUGCAACAGGCCGUCGCGCAGCGCACAUCGUCGCCCCCUACUGUACUGCAGCCGUCGCCAUCCGGCGCGCAAGGCCAAGCGCUGCAGCGGCCACCAUCUCUGCCGAUGACGACGGCGAUGACGACUGCUGCACCUCUGCCACCAGCAGCAGCUCCAGUGUCGGUGUCACCGGCCGCACCGUCAGGAAGGCCUCCGUUGCCACAAGCACAGUCGCAAGUCCCACUCGAACAGGUAUCACAACCGCUACCGUCGCUGCAGCACAAGCAGCCUUCUGGUCCGCAAGCUUCGUCGGUACAAACCCCACAGCAAGCGGUCCCGCCGGUAGAGGGCAGGACAGCAGCUGCUGAUAUUGCUGCUGCAGAGCUGCCGAUUACUUUACAUUGCCCAUCGAAGGCAAAGCCGCAGGAGCUGACGCCCUCGGUACCGGUGCUUGCGCCGACUGAGGCACGGGAGCAACAAGGCCAUUCAUCACAGCAGCAGCAGCAGCAGCCGGGGUCCUUGGAAAUGCAGUCGGCAGAUGCGCAGGAGCAACUACCACCACCUGCCGUUGGUGGCCAGCUGGAAGUAGCGCCAAGCGUCCAAGGACUUCAGCAGCAACCGCAGCAGCAAGAAGGCCAACCCCAAACGCAAGUCGGGCAACAACAGCAGUCGCUGGCAGAAAAGCCAAAGCAGCCGUCUGGGCCAAAUGCCGCGGAGCCCCAAUCCUCCGCCGCAAUUGUUACAAAGGCAUCUGUAGAGUCCUCCGCAAAACUUACCAGCAAAACGGAGGAAGCGGUUGCGACGGCUGCGGCAGGCUUAUCGGUGGAAGCUCCGCCGACUGAAUCUGCAGUGGUCCAGACGGCAAAUGCCGGGGGAUCGGGCGCUGCAGAGCAAACAGCACAAGAGUCAACUGCGAAUCGCAGUGAUCAUCCGCUGCCAAACGCUGCUGCAGGACAGCUGCAGCGUGGCGCCACUAAGCAGGACUCCACUCCCGCGACUGCCGCCUCUACCACCGCCGGUAACGGUGGCGCUGCUAACCUGGCUGCCGCGACCGGGGCAGCUGCAACUGCUGCUGCAGCCACGACGGAAGCACAAACGAUUGCGACGGGGACAUCUGGGGCAGUUCCGGCUGCCGUGGCGGCUUUAACAAGCCAAGCGCAGCCACUUGCAAUGUCCGUUGGUGCGUCGUCAGGCGCUGGACCUGCGCUGCUCAGCAACUCGGCGGCGGCAGCCAUGCUUGCCCAGUCCCCGGCGAUGUCGAUGCAGUUCCUGACAAGUAUGCAAGGUCUGGGUGGCGGUGCAGGCACCGGUGGGUCCAACAAUGCGCUCACGGCCGCUGCGACUUCCAUCCUGCUCGCUGCUGCCGCUGCAGCAUCGGCAGGUGGCCAGAACGCCGCUAACAACCUCAUGGGCAACGCGCGGACCAGUGCAUUGCAGCAAUUGGCGGCUGGCACACCUGCGGCGCAGGUGUUUGCCAACGCGGCGGCCGCUGCGGCAGCGGCAGCGGCUGCUGGUGGAUCCGUUGGCGGCCUGGCGCAGCAGGGCAAGCAACAACCGCCACUGUUCUCAACUGCUGCUGCGGCCGCUGCAGCCGCCGCGUCCUCGCGCGGCAUACCAUUAGCUAGCGCCUUGCAAAGUCAGGCAACGGGCGGUAUUGGGGGCCUCGGAGGUCUUGGUGGCAUUGGCGGCCUGCCCGCUGCCUUCCAAUCGCUCCAGGGCUUCCCGCAGUCGUUGGCGGGCUUUAACCUGAACCUUGCGGCGGGCGGCGGCGUUGGGCUCGGCCUGCAGACGUGUCAGCGGCUGACGGACGGGCUGGCCGGCAUGGGCAUUAUGGCGCAGGGGCCGCACCACCUGCAGGCGCACCACCACCUGCACGGCGUGCAGCUGCCCGCGGCGGCUCAACCGCGGCAGACGCAAACGCAGGGUCAGGGGCAACAGCAAGCAGGCCAAGCGGAGGGUGGCCGCGGCGCGGGCCGCGGUCGCCGCGCCAGCCGGACUACAGUCAUGGAGGAGGAAGAUGAGGACUGGGAGGAUGAUGACGACGAAGAGGAGGAAGCCGCUAGCCCCAGUGCCCGGACGCGAAGGUCCGCAAGGGCGGCGCGACGAGGGAGCAACGGCGUACGGGGUUUGGAUAAUCAUGGGAAUGGGGGACCGGAAGGUGCUACACGCCAGCCGCGGCGCCGGGCGGCCAAGGGCGCGCAUAAUUGGGCGGUACUGCUGGCGAGCGAGAGCAGCGAGGAGGAAGAUGGGGAUGAGGAGUGGGGGGCACGUAACGGUCGAAGGGCCCAGGAAGGUGGGGGCCGGGGGCGCGGCCGCGGCCGUCGAUCAGCUGGCUAGGCUGGUGGUUAGGGGACGCUUCGCGAUGAUGCAGUGCUGUUGGUGUGGUCUGACCUCGAAAAUCUAACCGUGUCAUUGGGUUGGAAGGGCGAUGGGAAAGGAAAGCCGAGUGAUUACAGGCGGCGACGGUUUCUGUCUCCUUGGGCUGACGGGUGCUGGGGGGUCAUGCCUUGUUCCGAGUCAGUUCGGGGAGAGUGUGAGAAGCCUGAGACCCAGGCCGGGGUGAGCCUUUGUGGCGGGCAGCUACGAAACAGGCUGGAGGCUACAUUUGGGUGACACUGCUGCGUUGCUACGGUGUGCUUUGCGUUGCUCGCUGCAACUGUUCAAUGAAGAAGCUUUGUUUUAAAACAUAUGAGGCCGGCUGUUGCCUGAUUCGCCGUCAUGGUGCCUUGAUUGUCAUUUGGCUUGUUCGACGUUGUGGCGAUGGGGUUUUUACGUAGGUUGUUGCUGUGGACGUAUUUCUUGGUCCCUCUUCGCGAGCUAAUUUUGCUUUGGUGGUCUGUGUGAUAAGUUUGACCGCAUUCUCACGUGAAAGCCGUUUUGACCAGUUGGUCGGGGCUGGGGUGCGUGCUUGGGUUGUGUGUAUCUGGUACCAUGACUUGGGUGGGUGUUGAUAUGCUAGUGUGGCGUCACACCGGGGCGAGCGCUCGGGACCGGAUACUGUCUUGUCACAUGCAUGUGUGUGUGUGCGUUACAUGGUCGUGGGGCUGCGUACCCCGUACCUGCAAACCGCCCAAUACGAGCCGAGGGCUCAAGGGCUGCCAGAUCGCCUUUAAGCACUAUUCUACCUCCCACUCCAGACAAAGCAAGUGAUAAGGGAGACUAACGACCAAAGCGAACGAUAGAGUUGCGGUGGGACCACAUACGCUCCAGCAUCUUUGCCAGGCGUUCAGGUUCCCACAUCAUAGUGUCUUUCAUAUCCUCAAAGCGUGGGAAAUCCAUAUCAGAUUCGCCGUACACCGGACAGUCCAACAAGACAUGCUUCUCAUCUUCAAUUUGGCUAUCAGUGCCGCAGCAGGGCCAUACCAGCUCCUCCCUAGGUACAUAACGCCGCCCCUUGCGUUCUCUGUUCGCCGCCAACGUCCAACAGCAAGGCCUAAACUGCAUCAGCUUACAAUUCGCUGAACGCGGGAUAAGUGUUGUAACAUGCGGGAGCACCUCCUUCCUGCCCGCUUACUCAUCCGCCAGACCCAUCCAAUGCUUAUACUUUACCGUGUGGAUUCCCGGGUGCUUAUGGGUACGUGUACACGUCUGAGUGGACAUCUAGAUGCGUACGAUUCCAACCGCUCAUCAACCGAUCCUUGAACUCCGAUACCACACCUUCCGGCAAUGGCCUAUUAAUCAGCCAUUCCACUUGUUCAUCUGCCUCUUGCAGCGCCUCUUUCCAUACGUCAUGCCCAAGAAAAUUCAGAAAACGGAGGAGUGGUGACCCCAUUCCGCCCCCUUCGGAGUUAAGAGCCUCUGCGAUCUCCUGUCGCAAAACUUGGUGUGCCACAGACCCACGCUGUCAACAGACUCGGUUCCAAAACGUCACAAUCUGCUUGAAAACGUGGUUAGUGUAGAGGAAGCCGUGACAAUUCAGCGAACAGGAGGCGGCGCACUGGUCUGUCAGCUCCAACACUUUGACGCAUGAACGAUGCCUGGAGCUGCACCGCUCCACCUUUCAGACAUGCCUCGAAGGGCCCCUCAGCAAGGUUACUCGGAUGACUUCGCCUCUGAGCCUGUCCAAGACUUCAACCAAUAUAAGCAAAACCCCCACACUUGACAACCGUACAACAGUAUUGCUCGUACCUGAGUAUCAAAACACCUCAUCCUCACAUCCAUGGUGAACAACUUAGCUUAUCCAAUGUUGUACUCAGCACGAACAUAGCUGCCCUAGCUAUGUCGUACAACUGCUGGCGGCCGGCACGAAACGACCGUUCUGGUCCAUACACUAUACCCAGAUAUUGCGCACCCUUCUUAGCUGGUACGGCACCACCAGCCAUCCUGAGCUCACAACACGAUGCUUGAGCACCACUCCUUGCGUCGCUGUCACUCGCAAAAACGAGGUCGCACCCCAAAUUAUUUACAAAACAUGUCCACGAUUUUGAGCAGCUCCUGUGUCGUUGCCAGGAGGCUAACGUCAUCGGCAUAGAGGAGGAUGGACACUCGCUCAUUGCAAACCUUCGGUGCAUCCCCUGGCCGGGCCCCCGCGGUGUUAACACCCUCAUGCAUAUUGAUGUCAUCGGCAAGGGCUUAAAUGAAAAGUCCAAACAACUCAAUUGACAGCGGACAGCCUUGUUUCACUGAACCCUCUUUGGGCUCAAAUUCGCCCCCAGUCCUGCCAUUCGUCUUGAUGACCAUUGUAAAACCUUGUCGUCGCCCUAUUUAUGGCCCCUCCACAUGACUGAUGGGACCGAAGGCCCCCGAGUGAUGGUUGGUGAGCCGUCUUAUUGACUGCUCACCGACGCAAGUACGGCAAAGCGCAACAGGUAAAGCGUGGGCCCGAUCGCGAGUACAGAAUUACAAAGGCGAACGAUAACAAAUAGGCGAAUGAGAGCAAUGUAACGGCUCAUGCUCGUUACAGGUCGAGUGAAGGUGUGGGCGAGGGGACUGUAUGAGAACGAGGUUGGCUUGGACAGCAACCCUCGUAACGCACGCAACUCAAUGCAACGCAACCCUCGUAACGCACGCAACUCAAUGCAACGCACGCAACGCUUGCCCCCCCUUCUAUCUGACACUUCAGCAUGACGAAGACACGCUAGCUGUUUGCUUUGAGAGAUAAAACGGUGUAAAGCAUAACGCAACCGAUUACCAGAGCCAAAUCCUUAACCGCUUCAGAACUGUUACUUACUAGAUGCGAAUUUGAUGCAAAAUUGGCAUCACAAGAGAGGCUGUUGAGGCCGUGCAGAGGGGAAAUGAGUUGACAAGGGUUAACGCCCGUACGAGAAAUGGCCGCAUGAGGUCGUUGCCCGAUUUGCUAUCCCAGGCCUACAAAGGUGUUUUAUGUUAUUUGCUUUGAUCACAGAGCUGUGCUACGGAGUUCUGAUCAUUUGGAAGGCAGUAACAUUAUAGAUUGAUUAGCCCGGUAUACCCCCCAUUACGGGCUGUCAGAGGAAGCACAUUUUUAGAUCGAUUAACGAGCUCUGUAUUGUUUCAAAAUGGGGGUCAUUAAGCGAAGGGGAGCCGCUCCGACAACGCCCCCUGAUCCCUCGCCGAUGAAGGACGGCAGCUUACGUAGGGAAAGGUAUCCUUCGAGCAAGCCUGAGUUCUCCCUUGGUGAAAUCCGCAAGGCCAUUCCGGCGCACUGCUUCAAGAGGUCUGCAGCCAAGAGCCUGAGCUACUUGGUCAGUAAAGGCGGAGUACUUUAGGUCUUCUUUUCACUCGUUUUCCAUUGCUACUGAAAGCAAGCGGCUCCUACUGCGCCACAAAACCAUAAAAUCGAGCUGCUUGUACGGUGCAGGUCGUCGAUGUGCUGCUUUGCGGCCUGAUGGCUUACGCAUCGAACUGGAUCGAUCAUCCAGCUGUCCCAAGGUGUGCCCUUUCUCCAUAAGUACAUAGUUGGUAAUCAACACGCACUGCUGGACGUAAGGCCUGGGUUGUAUCCCAAAAGAAUGGUUACACCUACGCAGAGGUUGAUAUAGUGAGGGCGGGGCUAGCCACCGUCUCUCAGGAAGCCCGCCAACCUCUCUUUCCGCCAGCAAUGCCUUAAAUGAGUCCCGGACCUUUUCUUACCUCUGAAGUAUGGACGCAAUUUUUGUGCGUAACACGUUGAAGUGGGUAUAAUCAACUUGCGGACUCCAUGUUCAAUUUCUUUUGCCCGUGCUAGGUGGCUAGCAUACGGUCUUCUGUGGCCUACCUACUGGUUCUGGCAGGGGGCUGUGGCCACCGGCAUCUGGGUCAUCGCGCACGAAUGCGGCCACGGUGCUUUCUCUGAUUCGGAAACCCUCAACGACGCCGUCGGUCUAGUCUUCCAUUCGCUACUGCUGGUGCCCUACUACAGCUGGUAAGAGGAGGGGGAUUUAUGAGGGAUGUACAACGGGGGCCCCGCUGCAGAUACAGUGGCAGCCAUCAAGUGCCUAAGCUUUAGGAAGGACUGUAUUGCGGACACCGCAGGAUUUCCCGGAUCCUUGGCCUUAAUGGCCAGAUGGGUCCUUCCCCCCAGACUACCCACGCUGCAGUGCUAACGUCGCCGCCGUCCCCCGUCGCCAUGUCCCAAUGUCGCUGGGUAAUGUAAACAGGAAACAUUCCCACCGGCGCCACCACCAGCACACGGGUAGUACCGAUCUCGACGAGGUGUUCGUCCCAACCAUCAAGCCGCCGGGCAGCGAGGUACGUCGGAAGAAGGACAAGCAAUGGUUGGUUAUGGCAUGAAGUCGGGCUGCCUGGCUUUUGGGGAGGUUCUGCCAGAAUUCCAUCCUUGUCGCCCCCCUCACCCUCUUAAGUGCUAUUUCACAUGUCAUACCUUUCCCUUUCGACAGGUUCCCUGGUACCAGAAGAACCCCAUCUACAAGGUGGGUCACAUCUUCGUGCAGCAGGUGCUAGGCUGGCCACUCUACCUGCUGUUCAAUGUGUCGGGACACUACUACGACCGGUGAGCUGUGGGUGAAUGGGUAACGGAACAGUUGGAGUGAAGAAGGGGGAAGUUAUUGGUGGGAAGACCUGGAGAGGGGGUAGCAGGGGGAAGGGAAGGGGGAAAGGCGAGGGGGCAGCUGGAGGGUUUGUGAGAGUAAGGGGAGGUAGGUGGCGCUGGAGUACUAGUACUAUACGAUGAGUGAAUGCAAGAAAAGGUCACCUCAUCAAAUCAUUUUUAUUCUUUGCUAUAUUAUCCCAGCAAUUUGGAAUGUUUUUGAUAUGUGAUGCGAAUGUCCUUCCGCAGCUGGGCAAAUCACUUCGACCCUUCCUCGCCCAUCUUCACCACCAAGCGCGAACGAAUGGAAGUUAUCAUCAGUGAUAUUGCGCUGGUGGCCGUGAUUGGCGGCUUGGGAGCUCUAUCGCGCGCCUUUGGGUUCCUGUGGCUUCUGAAGACCUACCUCAUUCCCUACCUAGUCGUGAACCACUGGUUGGUGAGUUCGUACAGCCGUUGCACGUAAUGCCGUACCUGGGUGCCGUACACGGAAGCUGUCCAAAACAUGAAGCGGGGCCAGACGACAAGGGUGUUCAUAGCUGUGUAGUGGGGGUGAGGAACUCACCCGAAAUGACACAUGCCAGCCUCCUUUUACUUUUUUUUGUUUCCUGAACCCAUCCCCACGUUUGACUCCAAUUUCAUUACAUAACUGCUUUCGUCUCAUAUUGCACCAAAUGACUUUAAAGUGUGGCGGCUGAGAUCCGAGGGGAUUUGGAGGACCUGAAAAGCUUAAACAUAAUGCAUAAAGCAGCCUUAGCAGGGGAUAAAACUAUACGGGUCGAUAACCGUCGUGUGAAGAAAAGAAUAAAGGUAUCCUAUCCUAAAUCACAAUUGCACGUCAUGGCUUAGGUUAUCUCAGCCAUCCUCAUCACCCCCACGUAAUCGUGAAGGAGCGCGAAGGAGAGUGGGUAUAUGUUGCUUCCACCUUAAUGGACUUUGUGAAUUCUGCGAAUCUUGGUCCCGCGAAUCCGCGUUGAGCCUUUACAUUUUCUUUUCCCGGUGCAUGUGAGCUCUCCUACAACAAGCCGCCGUGAAAAUCCAUCCGCGUGCGCAAAUCCUCAACUCCGUUAUUCCCUCCAGGUUAUGAUCACUUUCCUGCAACACACGCACCCUAAACUGCCCCACUACGGCGAGGGUGAGUGGGACUGGCUUCGAGGUGCCAUGGCCACCGUUGACCGUUCGUACGGCAUUCUGGAUCACGUGUUUCACCACAUUGGCGACACCCACGUGGCGCAUCACCUGUUCUCGUACAUGCCACACUACCAUGCCCAGGAGGCAACCCAGGCGAUCAAAAAGGUGCGUGUGGGUCUGCAGAGCUGCGAUGAGGGAAAUGCCGUUGAUGGUAUGCGAACAAAACGUUACCGCGCGUGUACCACCAUCGGCAUUCCCCUCGAGCGAAUUAGUCCUCCGUAGUCUACGACGACGUGUAUAAAGGAUGCUGCAACAAUGGAGUGAUGACAAGAGCCCGGUGAUUGUGUGUUUGUGUUUGUGUCUGUCGAAGCGCAUUGUAUGCUGGACCCGUGACGCGAGCUGCGUCGAAAAGCCCUUGUGGAUGCAAAUAAGUACCUUGUGACGGCAUCUCCGCGCAGCUGAGCGCAUACAAUGCAAUACGCCGUAUCGAAUUAUGAUAGCACGAGUUUUUGACCAAAGCGAUUCGCCACUGUUUUGGUUUUACGUCGGUCAUAUGCUUAUGCCACGUAAUCUUUGCUGACGACGGGAAAGGUUCAACUCAAGUUAUUGUGGGAAGCAGCUAUUGCGAUGCGAAGCCAUCGGCCGUUGGUUGCCUCGCGUCAAGGCAACAUGUCAUCAGCCAACCCAUGCCGUCACAGUCGUGCCGUACACUACAUUUGCUGCUGCCCUCACCACUGCCGCCUCCGCCUGCUGCUGCUGUCCUCAGGUUUUGGGCGAUUAUUAUGCAUAUGACAAUCGCAAUGUGUUCCGCGCGCUGUGGGAGGAGCUGGGCUCGUGCACGUGGGUGACUCCGGAUGAGAGUGGCCCCGAGAAGGUCUACUGGUACCGCUGAAGAUCCACCACCGUGUGUGUACACUGCUGCCGCUGCUGCUGCUGCUCCUGGCUGCUGUAAGCGUCGCUGUGGGAGGAGCUGGGCUCGUGCACGUGGGUGACUCCGGAUGAGAGUGGCCCCGAGAAGGUCUACUGGUACCGCUGAAGAUCCACCACCGUGUGUGUACACUGCUGCCGCUGCUGCUGCUGCUCCUGGCUGCUGUAAGCGUCGCCGCCGCUAUCACGACAGUCAUUGUGCGGCUGUGGCCUAUCGUGAAAAAAUAGCCGUGCGCGCUGCCUAAAAUGUUUCAUUUAUGCGUAGUUGUGUCGCUGCUGUCGAGUAGUAUUAGAAAGAAAGCUCGUGUGUGGAGGCGUGUUUGUAUGCCUGCCUGCCAGGCUGGCAACUUGCAUUAAUAGCGGAGUGGAGUGUUAAUGCGUGUGUACUUUUUUGUGCAUUUUUUGUGUGUACCUGUGUGUAUUUUAUGCAGAGGGUUUUCGGUGACAGGUUCUGAGGUGCUGACGUCGUUUUCCCCCUCUCCCGCGCGCGUGCAGUAGCUCCAACGCCCGUUAUCUUUCGGGAUUGCGACAGUGGUAGAUGGGUAGAGAUGUAUGUUUAAAAGUGGUAGAUGGGCAGAGAUGUAUGUAUUGAAUUGUAUAGAUUGUUUUUCAGUGAGUUUUAUGCGAUGCUACCUUUACGGCCGUGCAUGCAAGCUGUGCUGAUCUUUCCUGCGUUUUGUUUCAUCUUUGGAAGAUAACUUGAGAGAGGCGGUGCUGUUUCUGUUCUCUGAACCGUCAGGUGGAGGAUGAUGUCGUGAGGAUGAUGUCGAAUGAUAGCGUCAUAUUUUUUGAGUCGAGCUGGUUGGUUCCUUCUAUGUGUGUGUAAACAGAGCGUGGUUAGUUAAGAGAUAGAGCGACGUGUAUGAUAUCUACGCUACCUGUAUGCGUCGUGUUUGUCGAGCAACAAUGCGUCUGGUGCUUCCAGUGCGCUUGACUCCUGGCGGAAACCGUGUCUUGUCGUACAGAAGUGUUCGGCGGGCUAGAGAUUAACAGAGUGUUUUUGUGUAUAUGCUCAUUUGUUUGCAUAAAUUUCCUGCCUCCGUUAUAUGCGUUAGCUGUAGGGUGUGUUAUGGAGAUAAAGAUGGUGUGUAAAAGCCUGCACCUACGUUGAAACUCAUUUUCCUGAUUGUUCAGGCUUGACUUGAACAUGCUAUGACAUUUAUAUACGUCGGUACAGGUAUACGUCGGUACAGAAUAAUGCGACACGUUCACCUCCUGCAUGCCCAAAACCAUAAGUAACAUACGGCGUUUUUUAAGCAUGGCUUUGUCAAGAGUUUCUGAACAGUCCAGACGGAACAAGGAGUGUGGAUAAGCAGGUAAAAGCACCAAACUGGCCAAACCUUGCCCUGAACACAUCGCCCCAUGGGCAAAUAGUUUGUCAGCUGCAGUUGGUAACAUCCUCAUUUAUUGACAAUUUUAGCACGACGGAAACAAUGCUCAGCACCGUAAGGCCAUGACAGCACGGAUAAAAAACAGUCCGAAAAACACCGUCACGCAUCACUGAACACAAUCAUGUGCUACCCCCAUUACACUGUGGGCGGCUCGCCCCGAGAAAAGGACGAGCACCGGGCACGAACUAUUGACUGCUGGUGGCUCUUGCUACCGUGGUGCCGCCAGUGUGGUGUCGCGCUCCCUGUAGGUUGCGGUUUCCUCUUCCACCACCGUGGGGCCGGCCUGUGCCCCUAACCCUUGUUGAGCUGGUGUCCAUGGGACUAUUUGAGCUGCUGCCGCCGCCGUGGGGCCCGCCUGUUGUGGGGCCAGUGGUGGCGGCUGCCUCAGCAAGGGUGAUGAUGGUGGCGGGGCCCGCAGCUGGGACGGGGCCUGCAGCUGGGGUGAGGCCUGCUGGGGUCCCACCAUUGCAGCAGUUGCAGGGGCCGCCUGUCCUGGCUGAGCAGGGAUCACGGGGUUGCUGGCUGCAUGAUUGGUAUCUGCCAUGGCGGCUGGGACGUUUGCGGCCGUGGUGAUGGUGGUGGCGGUUACACCAGCUACAUUUGUGGUGGCGAUGGCUGAUGCAGGCGGCACAGGUGGGGGUGCGACAUAUGGCUGCAGCUCCGGGUUGGGCCCCCUCCCCAUGGGCGCUAGCUGGGGCCCUGUUCCCAUGACUGGCUCCAUGCCCCAUCUUGGCCGCAUCACGGCCGCUGCAUACGAGGGCCCUCUCCACCGUUCGAGGGGCAUGGUUGGCCCGGGGCAGCAACAGACUGUGCAGUAUGGCCCUGCCGUCACAUUUGCUGUAACUGCUGUGUCUGGCGCGCCAGCUCCUUCCGUGGUGGUGCUAUGCACGGCAUAGUGAAGGGUCCCUCCUGAUCGUUCCGUUUCAGUCUGGAAGCCCUCAGUACGCCGGACGUGGUUACCUCCCCCGCCCUGCCGAGUUCGUAGUGUUGCUCGCCCGGUAGACCAGGGGUGUCCUGCGCCACCUUGAUUUGCCAGGUGUCUGCCAUCAUAGUGGGAUUCAGCUCAUGGAUGUCUGUUUCAUCCCACCUGAACCGCGGGGUGGAGUAGCAGAGGGCAAGGAAUCCAGGGAUGGCUCUAGGGACCAGGUUGGUGGGGAUCCCCUUGAUCUCCCAGUGGGGGCGUUCUGCCUUGUAUAGGUUCGUGAUGGGCAGCUCCACUUCCACCGGUGGGCUGCUGGGUAGGAGUUGGACUGGCCCCAGCUGGAGCCGUCCUCCCCGGACUGCUGGCGAGGUGGUAAGCAUUGCCAGACCACCUUUCCGGAUCAAGAUCCUGAUCUCUUGCACCAUCACGCCGCUGGGGAGUGCCCGUUGCGGGCAUUUGCCGAUUCGCGGCCCGAGCAGCCCCUCUGCCUCAACGGGCGGUAUUAUCGCCCGUAAUCUGUUUAAAAUGGCCUUGCCCAUUGGUCCAUGUAGCUGGGCUUGUAUGUCCGCGGGGUCGGAACCGGCCGGCCAAUGGAUUUCCAUGGUAACCUGGUCCUGAUCCAUAUAAAGUGGGGUUCCUUCUGGAACCGUGUCCAUUAUUAUGUCGAUGUUCACAAACUUUCGUUCCGCUUGGGAGCGGCUUGGUCGUGGGCGAGCAGCUGAGGCUGUCGCCCAUCCAUUUGAACGUUGUUUUGGCGCGGAGGUCCGCGCCUGCCCAUUUUCCGCCAUUCUGGUCUAUGUUAACUCAAGCAUAUUUUGCGAGAGUUCUCCGUUUUUGCCGCGGUCGGCGAGGUCAGCCACAGGCAGUUCGCGGUCGCGUUUUAACGAAUAUUACAUUUGCUCAUGUUGUUGUUGUUGUUGCUGUUGUUGUUAUUGAAUGUUACGGAGUGGGAGGAUUCAGGGCACUUGAACACAUUGUCAUUUCUACGACUUAUCACCACACAGCAUCAUCCACCAUUACCACAAUGUACUACGCCUUACGAACUGCCAAGUCCAAGGCGGGUUUGAUCCUGCCUUCUAGGAUCCCUUCUCAUCCAGUCACCCGAACAUCCGCAGCGACAGAGGGUUGAGCAAUCGCCACCAAUCCGCGUGCAGAACUCGGUCCAUCAACUGUGACCUCAACUCCACAUCUCAGCAGCUAGCCAUAAUCUCACGCUCCCGACAAUGUCGGGGGUCUACCCAAGAAUUUCAGCGCAUAUGGCAUUAGUGUCACCAGAAAGAUGU
RNAcentral lists this long non-coding RNA (48660 nucleotides) under Volvox carteri. Its description in RNAcentral is "long non-coding RNA (VCAR_LNC002626)". Lineage: Eukaryota; Viridiplantae; Chlorophyta; Chlorophyceae; Chlamydomonadales; Volvocaceae. The record is from RNAcentral.